GUUUUUUUUUUGGUCUUAUGGAACUUAGUACAAUGUAAUAAUGUAAGCAUGCAUCUAGCGGUGUUGUUGCAUAAAUAGAUCAUGUGUAAGUGUUCAAGUAUAAUGAAUUUAAACACUUUUUGCUAUGUAGUCAACAAAGUACAUUAUAUUGUGAAAUCCUUUAGUGCUUUGGAAACCAAAAUCUUUUUAGUCCCGUAGAAUGAAUGAUUAGUCUAAGGUCUAGUUUAAGAAUGUUUCUCAAAAGCAUUUUUUAGAAAAAAAAAGUACUUUUGAGGCAAAAACAUUCCUAAAUAAAUUGUUUUUUGAGAGAGAGUACUUAUCUCAAGCCAAAAAUUAGCACAAAAAUAUUUUUUUCAAAAGAUGAAAAUUUUAACUUCUCCUCAAAAAUAUUUUUUUCCAAAAAUACUUUUGAGAAAUAUUCUUAAACUAAGCCUAAAUAUAAAUUUUUAAUAAACACUUAAAAGAUGCGAAUGAUGCUUGAGGAAUUUGUGCGUUUGAAAUAGUAAAAGAUGUUUGAGAAUACUAAUUAUUUAAAAAAGAUAAGGUGCCUAGAAAGACGAAGGAUGGUUGAAAAAGUUGUGUGCAUGAAAAUGUGAAGUAUGCUACGUGAGUAGAAAGAUGAAGGAUGCCUAAAAAGGUUGUGCUUGAAACGAUAAGGAUUGUUUGAAAAUCCAUGCUUGAAUGCCAGGGUGAUAUUUAUCCCUAUGAGACUUUCAAAAAAGAAGAAGCUCUAAUUAUUUAUAAUAUAAUAGUGAUAUGAUGCUAGUGAAGGAAUGUCUAAAAAGACUAAAGUGCAAAAAUGAAGUGUGCCUAAGAAGACUAUGUGCUUGAAGAAGCAAAGCAUGCCUAAGAAGGCUAAGCACCUGAAGAAGUGAAAUGUGCUUGGAAAGACAAUAUGUGCUUAAAAAGACUAAUUAUCUAAAAAUGUGCUUCAAAAGUUUAAACAUGCCCAAAAAGACGAAACUAGACUUAUAUUCAUGUUAGUAAUUAUUUACAAUAUAUAAUUAUAAGUAAACUUGAAAAAAUUAAACAAAAUUUAUCUCGAAAUACGUUAACAUGAUAUUUAAAAAAAAAAUAAAGUUGGUAAUUAUCUAUAAUAUAAAUCAUACCUUAAUCAAGGUAUAUCUAAAAAUGGUAAAGGACAUUUACCAUGAAAGUAUGUCAUGCGAUAUUUGUCCCCGUAAAAUUUGGGAAAAACAUUAGUAAUUAUUUAUAAUAUAUUAGUUAUAUGAUGCUUAUCUUUUUAUGAGGUAUGUAUGAACACGAGCUCUAUAUUUCUCUUCGUGAGGUGUGCACCGUAAUGAAUUUUGGCCAUGUACAUCAACUAAGACAAAAGUGAGAUAGUAAUCAAAUAUAUUCAAGAGUUUAGCACUACCUUUGCACCAACAAAACUCUUGGUGAGGUAUGUACCACUUACACUUGCACCAACAUGAAUUCGGGCGUAGUAUGUACUAAUAUUCGGUUUGGUGAGGUAUGAAAACGUACGAAAACAUAAUAUACUUUCGCGUAAUAUGAAUUCAAAAUAUAUAUACCUCACCCAUAUAUUAUGUUUAACUUAAUAUAUUUAUUGAUUGAAUCUUAGUUCGAUUGGUAUAAAUAUUGUUGUCAAUGUAGGAGGACGUAAGUUCGAGUGCGCUUAACUGCAUUAUUCUCCUAUUUAUGAGAUGAGGAAGGACUAUGAGUAAUUUUAAGUAUUGUGUCAAAUAAAAAAAAUCAAGAGAUAAAUUAUUUAUUGUGAUAUUUUCCAUUUACUCUAAUGAUUUGUUCCAAUUUUGCAUCAAAUAAUUUUAAAAAUAUUAUAAAAAUAAUAUUAUUCUAAAUAUCUUAUAAAUUAUUAUUUAUGUAAUAUUAUAUUUUAGUUUGUAUAAUAUUUAAUAUUUUGAAAUUUUAUAUUUUUUAAGGAAAGCUCAAUCAUUAUGUUAAAAGUUAUAAGCUAAGGAAACAAAGCAUAAGUCGAAAUAAGAAGGGAACAACAUACUAAAUCUAAGUUAUCAGGCUUACCCCAUACACUUAAAUCUAGUUUUCUUUAUGUUAAUGGCAGAAAUACUAUGAGCAUCAAACUCAGGAGUAGAACGAAAACACUUGAGGACAAUAUUCCACUCAACAAAAGUAGCAUAUAGUAAGGUUGAUCGUGCUAAAUUAUGUGCCACUUAUUGGCAACUCGGUUCACCCAAGAGAAAACUAAAACACUAAAGUGGGACACAAGCAACAAAACAAUCCUGAAAUCCCAAACUCUAAUAUAUUCGAAGUUGAACCAAAAAGUGCGUUAAUCACCUGUAUCAAAUCCGAUUCCAUGGCCAAGAUUUAAUCCAUGAAGCCGAGAGAGCUUCUUUGAUUGCAACGGCCUCUGCUAGCCGAGGAGCCAAAGAAGAGUCAAUAUGUCCCGACAUAGCUUUCACAAACUUACCCUUCUAGUCCCUGACAGUAGCCGCAAAACCCGUAGCAUUUUCCUGGCAAGAAUAAGCAGCAUCAAUAUUACAUUUAUACUUGCCCAUACAAGGCUUCUCCCAUCUAUGCUGACGCCCAAGCUGCUCCGCGUUACUUGCACUAUCAACAGAUCAUACCCCUUCAUUGCGUCACACCAAUUCAGUAGAAAAGAAGUAGCAAUGUUUACAACAUGAUAAGGGGUCGAAAAGGUUCCUUUCCAGCACAAUAAAUUGCGAUGGUACCACAGACUCCACAUAAUAGACAGAACCCAAUCCUGCCUGCUGCUAUCCUAAGAACUCAACGCAUUAGCAAUAAAGUCCACAACCGGCAAAUGAGCAGGUUGAUAACCAACAUGCUGUCAAACCGAUUUCGAAAAAGAACAACCAAGAAGCACAUGAUCUAGUGAUUCCUCCUACCCACGGCAAGCAUAUGCAACAGACAUAUUGACACCUCGGUAAGAAGUUUCUAAGGCAACGCCAGCAAAAAUCCUUUGUCUUUGGCGGUAAAGAAGAAGCCCAGAACUGAUCCCAUGGCCCCGCAAAGUGCAGAGACAAAAGAUUCUGUGACCAUGAGAGCGCGAAUCUGUACCCCGAAUUUACACUGUAAAAUCCAUUCGGGUUAAAGUGCCAAAUAAGCUAAUCGGGCUGCAUGUGUCGACCAAUCGGAAUACUAAAAACAUGAGCCACAUCGUGCGGAGACAACACCCCCUCAUCAAAGCUUCGAUCCCAGCCCAUCCCAUCCUCGGUCAUAAGCAUCUUUACGUACAGCUCUUCAAGCCCCUCAAUAGGCACCUUUUCAACAUAAAACGUAGCCUCAUUAUUCAACCAAGGAUCAUUAAAAACCUGUAUGGAAGCUCCAUCCCCCACACACCACUAAAAGCCAUUCCCAACAAGCUGCUUAGCCGCAUAAAGACUCCUCCAGACAAAAAAAAGGUUACCAUCUUCGCUGGCAUAAAAAAAACUCACCCGAUUUCUGUAAGCCCAUAACACCAAAUUUCAUUAGUUUUUUUUUUAAUAAUGAAUCAAAGCCAUUAAAAAUUGGAGUGAAAUUAUAAAAAAUAUUACAAUACUAUGAGAAUGGAAGAUAACUUAAAAGAUCUAAAGAUGUGGUAUUGAAAUCCAUUAUAUUAUAAAAUCUUGACACUAUGAAUAAUAUUAUUAUUACCAACUGAAAUUAAUCUAUAUGAGAUUCCGAAAUAUAAAAUUAUCAUUGACAAUAUUAAAUUUUGUGAACCGACCACUAAAAUGGCUAAUAAGAAAUACAGUAUGUACAUUAAAGUGGCCUUGACCUUAGAUAGGCCAGUGAUAUAAAAGUAUUAUAAAAAACAAAUAUCCCAUCAUAAUAAAUAUUAAUUAUAAUUUAAAAAAGUGAUAUUUUAUAAUUUUAUAAUUUAAAAUUUAAUAAUUAAUUAAAUUUAUUAAAAAAUAUUUAAUUUAAUAAUAAAUAUAAAAUUAUACACUAUUAAUAUAUCAAAUAAUACAUAAAAUUAAAUAAACACUAUGCUAAUGUACAAAUUAUCUAUCCACUUUUGCCUUAUCUUGCCGGGCUUUCUUUUCACAGGAGAAAGAUAUGGAAAAAAAACACAUGUAGUAAAAUUUAUGUAGAUAUUUGUCCAGAUCGAGGAAUGUACAGUAGGUUAAUUAUCUUUUCAUCCAAAUUAUAGAAUAAAAAUUAAAAUUUAAAACAUGAUUUAAUUUUCUUUAUUUUUCAUAUAUUUGAAAUUUUAGUCUUCAUACUUUUAUUUUUAAGAAUUUAGUUUUUUUAUUUUUUAAUUUAAAAAUUUAGGUAUAAUUAUUAACAUUGUUAAAAUUCUUCUACUAAAUUUAUUAGCGUGACAUUUUAGAAUUAAAAAAACAAAACUCCUAAUAACCAUAUAACAAAAAGUGAUAUUAUAAUAGACCUAAGUUUAAUAGAGAAUUUUAACAAUUCUUAAAAGUAUGCAUCAAUAUUUUAAUUAGAAUAACACAUUUAAACUAACUAAUCAAGUAUAAAAAUUGAGAUACUAAAUUAUAUAAAAAUUAAAGAAUAAAAUUAAAUCGAAAAUUUAAAUAUAAUAUAGAAUAAAAACUCAAAUUUCACCAUUAUUAUAUUCUUUAAAAAAAAGUUGUAAGUAUGUAACAUGUGUCACAUAAUGUCACAACAUUUCUUUAUAUAUAGAGAGUAUAUAGUUAAAUUACCUAGGAGUUCCUGUAUUAUAGGGGCUAAAUUAAGUUAGCCCAUUUAUUAUUAAAUAGAUUAAUUUAAUCUCUAUAUUAUUAAAAAGAAUUAAAUGAGUCUAAAUUAUUAUAAACUUAACAUUUAUUGUAUAAAAAUGGCUUUUUUUUUUCAAUUGUCCUUCAAUUUCAAAUAAAAGAUUUCAUUUACAGAACUAUAAAAACUUAAAAAAAUAUUAAUUUUGCUAAACAGUAAAUAUUUUUUUAAAUAAUAAAUGUUAACUCUAUUCUAAUUUGAUAUUAUUUGAUUCUUUUAAAUAAUACAAUGACUAAAUUGAUCCAUUUACUAGUCUGGGGACUAAUUUGAUCAUGUCCCUAUAAUAGAGGGACCUCUCAAAUACAUUCACCAUAUAGAUACCAUAUGAAUGUACGAAUAAUUAAAUUUAAUUAAUCAUAUUAUUUUUAUUUUUUAAGUUACAAAUUUCAUUAAAAUUUCACUCAUUAUAAAACACGAUUCAACUUAUAACAAAAAUAUAUAUGUACUAAAACUAAAUAAUUUUAGGGCCCUUUUGGAUGGGCGUUUACUUCCAGUGUUGUGCAUUUAGCUUUCUUUUCGUCUUACACUGUAGUAUUGCUUCAAUAUUUAAUCUCACCGUUGUUUUUACACUAAUCGUAAGUAAACGCACUAUAUAUCUAAUGAAAAAUCAGGCUAAAAUUUACAUUUACGAUAUAUAUCAAUUAUAAAGGAGAUUUUUAUUUAUUUUUAUAUUAAAAUUAGUGAUUUUAUUUUCUAAAUAUCUGAGAAAAUAUAGGAGGAGAAGGGCCAUUGGGAGAAAGAUAAGAGAGGAGAUAUUAUUGAGGGUGGGUCCAACACCAAUAGUUACAUAUUACCAAACUUGUUAAUUGAUUAUGUAUUUUAAUUCGGUAGCUAAAAAAUAUAUAUUUUUAUUAUUUAAUUUAAUAAAAAAAUUUAGAAAAGCAAAAAGAAGAGAUGAUUGCAAAAUUUUAUACUAUUUUGUUCAAACUUAUUUUAUAUUUUUAUAUUUCUUCCCAGAAUGAAUGUAUAUAUUUUUAUUUAUAGAAAAUUUUUAUUUAUUUUAUGUUACAUUUUAGUUAUUUAUAUUUAAAAUGUUACUUUUUAAUUACUUAUGUUAAUAUGUUGUAACAUUUUAGUCACUGAACUGUUAAUUACCGUUAACGGUGCAACGAUAAGCUAAUACAUUACGUUAAAUCAUCAUUUCAAACAAAAAUGUAAGGUUAAAUUAUACAAUUGGUCCCAUUAUUUUUUUUAUGUUCUUUUAACUUUUUUUUCUUUUUUCUUUAUUUCCUAUUAUUUUCUGCUUCUCCCUCUGUUUUCCUCCUUUCUCUAUAUCUUUUAAGUACUUUUUCUAUAUUUUCUAUUUGUUAAAAUAAAGAAAUAAAAAAAUUGUUUAAAAAAAUAAAAUAUACAAGGGAAUGGAGAAUUCAAAGAUUCCAAUUCUACUUUGGUCAAGAGAAUUUACCAGCUCUUGACAUCCAUAGGGGAAUGGAGAUUACAAUAUAUUCCUAGAGAAGAAAAUGAAGUCGUAGAUGACCUUAUCAAGAUAGUUCAAGACAGGAGAACAAGAUUAAGAUUACUUGAGGAUUCACGUGGGAGGGAUGAGUUUAAUAAACUGUUUGAUGAUCUUGUGAGAGGAAUUAGUUUAAUUUCUUAUAUUUGUGUCGCUUUUUCUUUAAAAAAAUAAGAAAAUUAUCUUUUGUAACCAAUAAAAUAAAUGGAAAUCCUCUUGCUUUAAGCCGAAUAAAAAAAAGUAAUUAAUAAUAUUACUUCAUGGUUAAAAUUGAACUGAAAUAUCUUAAACAAUAUGUCUUAUCCACUAUUCUCAUUUAUGAUAUCUAAAAGGUCUUAUCUAUAUGCAUAAGAUAUUUUCCUAAAAUUAAAUGAAUUUUAUUACAACCUUAAAAAAAUCCAAAAUAAUAGUAAGAAUUAUUUUCCUUUCUAUGAUUAAUAAAGUAAAACUUCAUUUAAGAUUAUGUCGAUUAUAUUUAGAGUAUAGUAACUUAAUAAAAUAAUAAUAAUAAUAAUAAACACUUAAUAACAUGCUAAAGUAGCUUUUAAUUUUUUUAUUCAAGCAGAAUAAAUAAUCACUCAAGUGAAAGGAAAAAGGUUUGAAUAUUAUAUUUUUAAAGAAAGAAUCUUUUUACAAAAAGGGAAACCAAACAGAACUUUUCCCUCUUAAAAGAUCUUUCCCAAAACAAACUGCCUUCGCCUUUUUUUUUAUAAAAAGACUAAAAUAUUAACAGAUAUUUUAAUUAUUUACUUUAAAGUACUUUUUAAAAUAUUUUUAAAUAAAUUAUACUUUAGGUGAUUAAAUUAUUAUUAGAUUUAUGUUUUAAUUAUUUAACAUUAAAAAUUAUAAAAUUAUUAUUGAACUAUUUGAAAGUUUUUAUUUAAGUUAUUGGUCUGUUAAAAUUAUUAUUGUAUAACUUUUUUUGUUCGUACCAACUAUACCAAUUGAAAACUCUAUUUCCCCUUUCUUCUAUAGUUUAUUUUUUUUAUGAAAUAAAUUUGAAUGUCAUGAAUCUGUUAACCAAAUCCAAACAACUUUCUUCUCCAAUCUCUAAUACUAACUAUAAGAUCAAUUUGGAUCUAAUGUAUGCUUUUCUACUUAUCAAUGGGUAUUGAUCUAUUAUACCAAUCAUCGAAUUGUCGCUUAGAGUUCUCCAGCCGAACUUAAUUUUUUUUUUACAUCUCAAUGACUUAAAUAAAAGCUUUCGAAUAGUCCGAUAACUAUUUUGUAACCUUUUGAAUUAAGCAACCAAAAUGUAAACUUACUAGUAGCUUUUUAAGUUUACCCAUAAUUUUUUUAUGUUUUAUUUGUAUUAAAUAAAAGUUUUCACUUUGGGUUAUUGCACUUUUUGGGCUCAAAUUUGUCAAUUAUUUUCAAUUGGAGCUUUAAUUUUUUUUGCUCAAGUUAGUCCAUGAAUUUGAUAAUUGUUCCUAUAUUAGGGUUUAAAAUUUUUUUUAUCCAAGUUAGUUCUUAUAUUUUCUUAAAAAUUGAACCUAAAAAAAAUUCAAAUCCCAGCAUGAGAAUAAUUAUCAAAAUUAAAGACUAACUUAAAUAAAAAGAUUUAAACCCCAAAAGAACAAUUAUCUAAUUCAAUUUCAACGUGAAAACGAAUUUUCAAUUGAGCCAAAAAAAUUGAUUUCUCUUUUAUUUAUUUUUGACACAAUGUCUAAAGUUAUUCCUAACCUAUAAAUAAGAAUAUAAUGCAUUUUAAUACGUUUAAAUUCCAUCUUUCUACAUUAAACAACGAUAAAAUGACAAAAAAAACUUGUAUUCAAAAUCUUUAAUUAACACUCAUCCCUAUUCAAUAUUUAUAUUAUAAAAAAAAAACCUGUAACCCCCUCAUACAUCAAAAAAGAAAAGCUUUUAUUAUUUUAGCUUUUAUAUACUUAUCUGCUUAGCAAAAAAAUAGAAAAUAAAAGAAAAACCUCGAAAAUUUCCAAACUUUAAUUUUCAAUCCAAAUCCAAAUCUCAAAAAAUCUUUCUUCUCAGUUUUUCAUGCAAAACAUAAACAACUAGACAAUUAUCACCAACAAAAAUCUUCAAGCUGGUUGUUAAAGCUUAAAUUUUAAUUCAUGACAUUGAAGUUCAUAGCAAGGCUAAGGUCAAGCCGGGUGGUUGUUCAAGACCAACUGGAAGUUCCAGACCAAGCGGCUGUUGGCGGCGGUGGCGACGGUGAGGACUGUUGCUGGGCCAAACUGCCGCCGGAAUUGUUAAGAGAAGUUCUUUUAAUGAUCGAAGACUCUGAAACUCGUUGGCCUCAAAGAAAAACUGUGGUGGCUUGUGCCGGCGUUUGCAGUAGUUGGAGGCUUAUCGUUAAAGAGAUUGUUAAAUUUCCUGAAAUUUCCGGAAAAUUAACUUUUCCCAUCUCAGUUAAACAGGUUUUUAUAUUUACUGUAUAAAUUGGAUUAAAGUCCUUUGAUGAAUGAAAUUGUUAGUAAUAUUAUGAAUGGAAGUAUUUUUAAAUUUAUAUAUUUCACGGUGAGCAGUAUUCGAUCUUCUGUAAUUGGAAUCUCUUUGCAGCCUGGUCCUAAGGAUGGUCUCCUCCACUGCUUUAUAAAACGGAACCGAUCCACUCACACAUAUUGCCUUUACCUUAGUUUAACUAAUGGUGAGAUUAUUGUAGUUGCCUUACUUGGAUUCGGGUGUGAGUGUUAGAUAUGUGUCAUGUUCUAAACUGUCUUUUCAUAUCUCUGUGGCAGCACUAACAGAUGAUGGGAAGUUCCUUCUUGCUGCUCGCAAGCAUAAGCGUCCUACACACAAUGAUUAUAUCAUCUCUUUACGGGCUGAGGAUAUGUCAAGGGGGAGCAGUUCUUAUGUUGGGAAAUUGAGGUGAGUAGUUACUCGACUCUAAUGUGAGUGUCAUAUACAAAUACGUGUCUGACAUGGAUAUAUAUUCAAUUUAUACAUCUUUGAAAGCUCACAACUUAUAUUCAUGUUUGGAUGUGUUAAACACAGAGGUUGAAUACAGAUGUUUUGAGAAAAAAAAAAGUUUGAGCAAUGUAAGCUAUAGACAACAAAUUUAUGUUUUUAUUUUUCUUUUUGGCAAAGAUCAAAUUAUUUAGGGAACAGGUACACCAUCCUUGCUGGUCAAUCAGCUCAUACUGGUUCAAAGAUGGCUAAAAAUCACUCUCCUAGGCUACCUAAUUUGAAACAUGCUUCAUCUAAAGUCCAUUUCGUCAACUAUUCCAUGGCUCAUAUUUCAUAUGAAUUGGAAGUUUUUGGUUCGAGGUAAGAGUUUUUUGUUAUUUUGCAUAAGGAUUUGAUGAUUUCUUAUUCUAUUUGUCAUAUCUAGCAUUUCGAGUACCCGUGUCAGAUAUGAAAACACCGAACCAUACAUAUGUCAAACACAUAUCCAUACCCAAAGUUGCUUUUAAGUCCGAGUAGGUGAUACAGAUAUAUUUUAUAUGACUUCUAGGGGUCCAAGGAGAAUGCAAUGUAUCAUGGGUACCAUCCCAACCGCUUCUACCGCGCCCGAAGAGCCAGCUCGAGCCCGGUCAGAGUUUUCUGGCCUCAAUACGGACAUAUUCCAAUCAAAUCCGAUUGCUCAUUCAGAACCAGCUAGCAUGGGCAAUUUUCUGUCAGGAUCAUUGUGUGGUCAAAAGAAUGGUGCAUUGGUGUUGAUAAACAAGGCUCCAAGGUGGAAUGAACAACUCCAUUGUUGGUGCUUAAACUUCCAUGGACGAGUGACAGUUGCUUCGGUUAAAAACUUUCAGUUGGUGGCUUCUCCGGAAAAUCGAAAGAUUGUACUUCAGUUCGGGAAAGUUGGGAAAGAUUUAUUCACCAUGGAUUACCAGUAUCCAAUCUCUGCAUUCCAAGCAUUUGCCAUCUGCCUCAGCAGCUUUGACACUAAGGUUGCUUGUGAAUGAAGAUAUCUAUGUUCGAUAUUCAUAUCCAAUAAUAAUUAAAAAUAAAUAAAAAUCGAUCCAAAAUUUAUUCGAUUUUCAUUUUAUAAAAGGGAGAGUUAAAAGAGAAUUGGUGUAUAUACUGCAAAUAUUUGCUUAGCUAUGUCUUUGCAGUACUCAGUCAAAUGGUACAAUCUUUUUUUUUUUUUCCAAUCCAAUAUCUUCUGACUUCUGGUACCUUACAAGGAUGCUAUCUACACAUAAUUGUCCUCUCUACUUAAGCUGAUUGCAUGUGGAUGCUCAGAUUUGACCUUGUAUGUACAGAAUCUGUGGCGGUGGUGGUGCCUUCUUUAGUAGGCAGAUUGCCUGAAUGCAGUUCAGGUUGGUUCAGUUUCCGGACAAACUCAAUGAACAAAGGAAAAUGCUCCGGUGCGAAGAAUUGAGCUCCAAUCCUCUGGAAAAUGAACGAGUCAUUAAGAUUCUCACUCAACAUGUUCUUCUUGAUCUGCUUAAGACCAUCAGGAGCUCCGACAGUCGAGUUCUGGCCGGAAAUUCCGACCCCGUGUUUGUUGCAAGCUGUUCCAAUUUCAGCAAGUAAUGAUUCAGGGCUUGAGAGAGAUUCCUUAAGCUGGUACUUAUCUGACUGGUCCAUCCCAGGCAAGAUGAUUUUGCAUGAAUUCCUUGCAAACAUCUCUGCAACUUCUUCGUAGCCUUUUCUCGUGGCAGUGUUGUAGAAGCCAGCUGUGAGCUCGGAAGGAUGUGAACGGGUUCCGUGCCAAGAGUGCAUCAACGGGACUUUCCCGAAAAUGUUCACUGCACUAUCACUGAAAACCGAAGAGGCAAGUGAGAGUAGGCGAUCUCCAUGAGCUAUGAGCUGGCUUGAGUACCAAGAAAGAAAGAAAUCACCAUAAGGACUUUCCCAAGAUCCACCAUGAUCCUUGAAGAAGGUGUUUGCUGUAGGCAACUCGCUGUUAGCGGGUGCAUCAUGAGGGCCACCUAGUCCCCACUUUGGCUUUCCGCAUGCUUCGGCAUGUUGCUUAAGAAGGUGAAGCAUGUUUUUGUCGUAACAUUGGAACUCCCCAGCUCCCGGAACUGUGUCACUUUUGGCAAACCCACGGUGAGAUGGAUACCGAAGCUCACCAUCUGGUCCGAGACCCAUUGUGAUUCCCUGCAAAACCACAAUACAGAAGCCAUUAACAUCAAAACAGGGUCUAAUGACAUUGCCUUAUUUGACAAGCAAAACCAACUACCAUGAUCGUAGAACCGAUGAAAGCCGAAAAAGCCGACUUGAAGCUUUCGCAGAAAUCCUGAUACACUUGCAUUGGAGUCUUCCCAUUAAGAACAGCAAGCUCAUCAACAGCCAGUGAAAGACAUCCUCGGUAAGGCUUUCCAGCUCGAUCCUUGAAGAAGAUAUUGGACUUGGUUUUCCCAAUAUCAAGUACCCACUCGGGAAGUGGGAUCUUAGGUUGACUGGAAGCGUGAAAGCAGAGUGUUACGUGAAGUUUAAGACCUGCUUUCCGAACCAUCUCGGCAAUGGUAAGGUAGCCAGACCAGUCGUACUUUCCCAUCGACUCAUGCUCGACCACUCCCCACCAUAUAGGCAAUUCAACACCUUCCAAACCGAGAAGUUUCAAAGCUUUAAGCCCCGCUGAUAUUGCUCGAAACUGGUUGACUGUACCACCAGACACAACAUCUAGAGGCAGGCCAGCAAAUAAUCUUACUCUAUUAAGCUGCAAAAUGAAACAACCGAAUAACCUCCAUAAGAUUUUUUAGUCGCUACCAAAAAUUUCAAUUUUGUACAAUUAUAGAUGUUUAUAAAUUGGGUCAAUUCGGGUUUGAACCCUGGUUAGUAGAGGUGUGCAUGGGCCGGGUGGCCCGGCCCAGUCCGAAGGCCCACCCAAAAAUAAGAGGAUUUGGGUAAAAAUAUAGGCCCGAAAAAUGGGCUUGGACAAAAAACUAGGCCCGUUUAGAAAAUGGGCCAGGCCUCAGGUAAGAUUUUUUGGCCUGGGCCUGGCCCAGCCCGGCCCGAUUUUAGGCCCGAUUUUAAUAUUAAAUUAUUUUUAAAAAAAAUUUAUUUUUAAUUUUAAGUAACUUUAGUAUUUUACUUUACUCUUUUUGUUGUUUUUAAUGUUAUUUUAAUAUUGUAAAACUUUUUUUAUUAAUAUAAUCUAGUUCUUAAUUUAAUUUUAAUUUGUUUCAAUUUUUCAAUUUUAAUAUAAUUACUUUUUAUUUUAUUUUUAAUUUAUGUAUUAUUUUAAGAAUUAUUUGUCUUAUUUUUUUAUUUGUUUUUUGUUUUAAUAUUUGUUUUUAUGUUUUAAAUAUAUUUGAUUUAUUAUAUUUUAAAAUUUUUUAUUUAAUAAAAAAAAGUAAUUUUUUUUAAAUAUGGCCUUGCCGGGCCAGGUUGGGCUGGGCUCGGGCCUACCUUUUUUUCCCGGGCCUGGCUUGAACAAAUUUUUAGGUCCAUAUUUUAGGCCGGGCCGGCCCAGGCCUUGAAAACGGGCCAAAUUUUUUUAUGGGCCCGGCCCGGCCCGAACCCAGCCCAGCCCGACCCAUGCACACCUCUACAAUGGUUACGAAUAAUAUCAGUAGAUUUUAUAUUUGCACAAACCUGAUCUAACUUUAAAUAUGUUUAAAUUUAUUCAAAUUUAUCUAUAUUUAUAAAUUACCAACUCAAGGCAUUAUAAGUUGGCUAAUAUUAAUAUUAAUUUAAUAUUUAAUAUUUAAAAUGAUUUUUUAUUAAAAGUUUAAAUUUAGGCAAGUUACUAACAAUUUUUCUUUGUUUAUGUAGUAUUUUAUUAUCAUAUAUUUAAUUUUAUGUGAUAUAAAUUAAACAGUAUAUAAAAAUAAAAUAAAAGUAUGUUGCAAAAGUAUAAACAAGGACGGUUUAAUAUUUUUUUCAAAAUUAUUUUUUUAUUUUAUAUUUUUAUCUAAAUUUUCUCGUAUUUUAGAUAAAUUUUUAUAUUUAAAUAAAUAUUUUAACCCAUGAAUAGGUAGAAGUAAAAAAUGUAACACCUAUCAAUGUAUUUUUAAGUCAAUUUUAGCAGCAUGGUAGAAAAUAUGGUGAUUUACUUAAUAUUUAUAUUUUUUUAUAUAUAUUAAAAUUUAUCAGAAGUAAAUAUACGAAAGUAUUUUAUAUUAAAAAAUAUAUUUAUUAAAAUAUAUCAUUAUUAUAUUAAUUGAGUGGCAAGAAUUUUUUUAAUAAAUUUAUUUGAAGAUUAUAUAAAAAUAUAAUGAGAUAAAAAUAUAUUAGAAUAAUAUUAAUUAUCUAUUUUAAUUUCAUAAUUAAAUUAAUAUUUUAAAAUAAUAAUAAUUUAAAAGCAGAAACAAUGGAAUGAAGCCAAAAAAAAAAAAAACUUACAGUUUUGGAUUUUGUAGAAGACUUCGAUUUAGGGAGGGGAUCAGAUUGGGCAGCUUGCGCUGUUAUUCUGAGCCCAGAUUUUCCCCUCCUUAAUGGACUCUGAAACGAAACACUGUUUGGUUUCCGGAAAAAUAGUUUCUCAUUAAAUUUCCCGAAACUAAACCUUGAAUCCUUAAACCCUAAUUCUGUUUUAAGGUUUGUUGCCUGAGAACAACUCCUAAUUACCGAAACCUCCAUUCCCCAAAAAUUCCAAUUCCGAAGACCCAAAAAAAACUAAUGAAAAAUUUAUCUCAAAAUAAUAAAAAAGAGAUAUAUUAAAACUAAAAAUCAAGUCUUAUUUUAAAAAACAAAAUCAGGUUUACAACCAAAGAACUUCAAACAAAAAACCCCCAAUGAAAAACAGGGUCUUUGCUCUCAGAUCUCAAGCUGUAAACCACAAAAAGGAAAAAAAAAUCUUCGAACUGAAAAAUUUGGGGGAUGAGUGAAAGAUUAGAAAUGAGGGCUUUUAUAAUACUUUUUUGCCCUUGUUUUGGGGGGAUGCAGCUUAUUUCAUGGCUGAUGGCUGGAGCUCGUUUCUUAUAUAAACGUUUUUUUCGUAAAAACAACAAAAAUGGCGGGUAUCUCUUCUACUUUUACGUUUCGUAGUUUACCAAAAUCCUCAGCCGCAUAAUUAAUCAUUUUUUACCUGGGUUUAAUUAACAAUUUCUUUAGCAAAAAAAAGUUAUUCAAAAGAAUUUUAAAAUAUAUUUUAAUUUUCACUUUUUAUCAUAUAUAAAUAAAAUAUUUAUUUUUUUCUAGAAAAUAAAAUAUUUAUUUAACAUGGGUAAACUACAAAAAUAAUCAUUUUUUUACCUCAUGACUAAUGCUAGCGUAAUUAAAUAUCUAUAUACGUGACUUUGUACUCUGUAUAUGUGUUUGAGGUCAAAGGUUCGAGUUGUGUUUUUAGAAAAUUUUGUUAUUUUAUUCUGAACUAACUAGAGGUGUGCAUGGGACGGGAGGCCCGGCCCGGCCCGAAGGCCCGCCCGAAAAAUGGGAGGGUUUAGGUAAAAAUAUAGGCCCGAAAAAUGGGCUUCGAGAAAAAAUGAGGCCCGUUUAGAAAAUGGGCCAGGCCUCGGGUAAGAUUUUUUGGCCCGAACCCGGCCCGGCCCUGCCCGGCCCGAUUUUAAUAUUAAAUUAUUUUUUAAAAAAAUUUAUUUUUAAUUUUAAGUAACUUUAGUAUUUUACUUUACUCUUUUUGUUAUUUUUAAUGUUAUUUUAAUAUUGUAAAACUUUUGUUAUUAAUAUAAUUUAGUUCUUAAUUUAAUUUUAAUUUGUUUCAAUUUUUCAAUUUUAAUAUAAUUACUUUUUAUUUUAUUUUAAAUUUAUGUAUUAUUUUAAGAAUUAUUUUAGUCUUAUUUUUUUAUUUGUUUUUUUUAAUAUUUGUUUUUAUGUUUUAAAUGUAUUUGAUUUAUUAUAUUUUAAAAUUUUUUAUUUAAUAAAAAAAGAAUUUUUUUUAAUAUGGCCGGGCCGGGAUAAAUUUCUAGGCCCAUAUUUUGGGCCGGGCCGGGUCGGGCUCGAGGCCUUGAAAACGGGCUGAAUUUUUUUAUGGGCCCGGCUUGAACCCGACCCGGCCCAUGCACACCUCUAGAACUAACCUCUAUAUUUGAAUUGUUUUAGGCGUGCGUGUAACAACCUGUUUUUCAGUGGUGUCGAAAACAGUGGUUUCAAGGCCACCAAAUUCGACGAGUAAGUUUGUAAAUAUUAUUAUUUAAUAUUUACGAGUUAAUUAUGGUUUUAAAAAGGUUUUCGAUUUGAUAAUUUAUGUUAUAUAAGCGACUUAUUAAGUUCAAGUGGUUUGACCCUAAGGUCAAUUGGUUUUAGAAAAUGAGGUAUCGGGACCUCGUUUCUAUAAACUGAGCCGUAAAUAUUUUUAUAAAUAUUUAUGGAGUGUCAUUAAGGUGGUAUUAAAGUUUCAUUAAAAAUUUUUAACAUUUCGAUAGUUAAUUAAUUAGAAAGGACUAAAUUAUAAAAAAUACAAAAUAUGCUAAAUAUAACAUUUAAGUGAUGAAAUAGCUUAAUUAAUAAAGGAGGAAGGACUUAAGUAAAAAUCAUUCCCUAAUUAGUAUAGUGGGACAACAAUUUAAUAGGAAAUGAUAAAAUAAUGUGUUUUGGAUGGCAAAUUUGUAAAUUAAUGAAAGUUUAAACAAAAUUAAACAAAAUUAAAGAACGGAAAACAAAAAUUUCUUUCAUUUUUCUUCUUCGAUGGCCGAAAGCCAUAGCCAAGGAGGUGAAGCUUCGGUUUUGGAUGUUUACUUUGCACGGUAAGUAAUACUGACUCGUUUUCUUGUAAUUUUUAUGUUUUUGAGAUCGUUACAACUAGGUCCGACUAUGUCCAACUAGUCCGUACCUUCGUUCUUAAAAUUGUUAAAGAUUUUGAAUGUUUCUAUUGACGAAUCUAGUGAUUUUUGAUGUUAAAUUAUGAAUUUGAAAUUUUGGUUGGUAUUUAAAAGUAUUCUGUUAAGGGAUUUUUGAUGAAUUUUCCGAUUAUGGACUAAACUGUUGAAAUAGUAAAAAUACAAGGGUUUUCUUGUGAAAUUAUUGCAAAAAUGGGCUGUAUUGAAUGCCAUAAAUAUUCAGCUAGCUUGGAUUUGCAUUAAAAAUGGUUAAUUUGCAUGUUUUAGGCUUAGGGACUAAAUUGAGUAAAAGUAAAAUGUUAGGGGUAAUUUUUUAAAAAUGUCAAAAAAUACUAAAUUUCAUAAAAUGAAUUAUUUUAUUGUAUAAAUUAAUAAAUUGAAUGAAAUUAUUAAUUUAGAUCAAGAUCGAGUAGAAAAUCGAAGAGAAUAAAAAAUUAUCAAAAAGCCCCUAUACUUUGAUAUUUCUGCACUUUAGCCAGGUAAGUUCUUUAUAUGAUUAUUAUUAAUUGUAUUGAAUAUUUCAUAAUAUUUCAUUAUGGGUUAAAACUUAAAUGUCAUUUAGCUAUGUUUUAAGAAAUAGAAACGCAGUGAUAUUCGGGCUCCGUGCCUAGCAGGCUUUGUGCCGGUUUAUUAUAUCAAGCUUUGUGCUUAGCAGGCUUUGUGCUGGUGUGUUAUAUCAGGCUUUGAGCGUAGUAGUCUUCGUGUCAAUGUAUUGUAACAUGUCAGUUGUACUGAAAAUAUUAUUUUCAUUAUUCAAUGUUAUUUAAUUUGAUUCAACGGGUAUGAAAAGGAAGAGAUAAGUAAGUAUUCAAAAGACUUAUGUCAUGAAUCUAUAGAAAUGAAUAAAAAGGUAACGUUCAAUGAAAGUAUGUUUAUGUUCAUGAAGUUGGUGAUUACAAGUGAUGUUAUUCAGUAUAUGACUUACCUUAUGAUAUUUCGAGUGAAUUAUGAGUAAAUGCACUAACUUGUGUAUAGAUGAUGAUAUAUUUAUGCUUAUGUCUUGUGUUAUACAAAUGAUACGAGCAAGGAGAUGUAAUAAAACGGUAAGUUCAUAAUUUAGAUGUAAUGUUAUGUAAAUGCAUUGAUGAGUUAAAGGGUUUGCUUAUAUGUGAGAAAUUUACUUAAGUUAUGGAUGAAUUUAUCUAGCUUGUGGAUAAAUACAGUAAUUUGUGAGUUAAUUAUGGUUUGAUAAAUCUUGAGGCAUUGGUAUAGGUUUAUUUUUACCUUAUAAAGUUCAUUAUUGAAAUGAAAUGUUGUGUUUAAAAUUUAUAUGAUCUUACUAAGCGUUCAUCGCUUACAUUGUUAUUUUUACAUUACUUUUCAGAUUAUCGGAAGCUCAAUUGGGUUGGAAGCUAGUCGAAGAUGUAACAACCCAUUUUUAGUUAAAUCGAAAUAGUAGUUUCAGAACCACAAACAUGAGGUCAAAAUAUUUAUUUUAUUAUUAUUUUAAUGUUUACAAAAUGAUAUUAUGUUGGUGUGAAAAUUUCGUUAAGAAAUUUUAUCUUUUAAUUGGUCAAUUUGAGAAAAGGACUAAAUCGCAUAAAAUGCAAAAGUAGAAUUCUAUUAGCUAAAAGUAUUUAAUAGCUAUAGAACCUUAAAGUAAAGGUCUUUAUGUUGUAAUUAGAACAUUAACAGCAGUGGACAUAUAUGGACAUAUAUUAAGGUGUUAUGAUGGUUAUUAAUUAAGGUUAAAAAUGUAAAUUAAUAAUUAAAGGUUAAUUUAAUUAAAACAAAACAAAAAGGUUUUUGUUUCAUUCAUCUUCUUGGUCGAACGAAGCAUGGAGAAAAUCCAUUUUAGGGCUUCAAAAUUUUAGCUACUUCAAAGUUCAAUUGUAAGUCCAUUUUUGUUCAGUUUUUAAUGAUUUCUAUGGUUUUGUAAUCGUUGCUACUAGGUCUAGCUAGCCCAAGGACUAUUUUGUAAAAUUUUUAAAGAUUUUUAAAGUUAUCAUUGAUUAAUAAAUGUGUAUUUUGAUGUUUGAUGAUAGAUUUUGAAUGCUUGUUGAUAGAUAAACAAGUUUUGUUAAGUGUUUUUUAGUGAAAAUGUAAAACAGGGAUUAAAUUGAGAAAUGUUGAAUCCUUGUGGUUAAAAUGUGAAAUAAAUGAAAAAUAUGGGCUUAUAGGAGCAUUAUAGUAAUUCGGCUAGCAUGGGUUCAUUUUGAAUGUCAUUAAUUAGUGAUUUUAUGAAAUAAGGACUAAAUUGUAAAAAUAUGAAAGUUUAGGGGCUAAUGUGUAAAAUAAAUCAAAUGUAUAUUUUGGAUUGAAUUGAAUAAAUAUAUGAUUAAAUAAGUUAAUUUUGAAUAUAUUUAGAUUAAGAAAGGAGAAAUACGGACCUAGAUCGGGGAAAAAACAAAGUUACAGAGUAGUUGACUUGAUUCGCCGUUUUAGCAUCCGAGGUAAGUUUGUAUGUGAUAAAUUUCAUUAUAAAUGUAUUUUAAAUGCUUUGAUAUUGUAUAUGUUGUGAAUACGAGACUUCGGAUAAAUUCAACAAUGACUCGAUGAUAUUUCGACAUUCGAAAUCACUGUUGAACCUCAGGAAUAGUUUAGGAUACUAGUGACAUGUCAUUAGGGGAUACAUUGAGUUGGCUUCGGGCCAUGAUAUUAGCACUUCGGGUGCAAGUUAUACUAAUUUGGCUUUGGGCCACGAUAUUAGUACUUCGGAUAUAAGUUACCUUAAUUUGGCUUUGAGCCAUGGUAUAGGUACUUAUUGUGUGAGAUUUUUGAGUAUCUGACUUCUAUUUCGAAUGGUUCAAUGAGUAAUCGAUAGAUAUGGAUGAGUAUAAGAUUGGUGCUAGAUGAUACAGGUACGUUAUGAAUUAUAUAAGUUCCCAAUCGAGAAAACUUGUGAAGGAAGUGUAUACUCUCAUAAUUGAGUAUUUGAAAGGUUUGUUAGUUAAUGUAAGCUAUAUGUUGGUGUAUUCAAAUUAUUGAAUUAUAUUUGUGAAAUUUCAUUGAGUUUAAUUCAUACGAGCUUACUAAGUUUAUAGCUUACUUUGUUUAUUUUCCCUUGUUUUAUAGUGUUAUCAAAGCUAGCUCGGAUUCGGGGAUUGUCGGAGAUUGCUUCACACUAUCCACCUAACUUUUGGUACCUAUGAACUUUGGUAUUUUUAAGUAUAUGGCAUGUAUAGGAACUUGGUCUUUUGGUAUUAGUGUUGUUAUGAAUUUGGCCAUUUGUGUUGGCUUAUAAAAGUUUUGUUUAUAAUAUUGUUUAUGGCUAUGUAAGUUAACUUAUUUGGCUUGGCUGGUGAUGUAUGUAUAUAGGUGUGCUAAUGCCAUUUUGUGAUGUGUAGCACCCCAAACCCGGCCCAGAAGUUAUGGCUGGAUCCGGCAUGCCACAUCAAAAAUGUUAAAAAAUUUUCCAUUCUAAGUCCAAAUUUUGCAGCUUACCAAAAACAUUAAUCGAUUUACCUCACGAGCAUUCGCACACUCGCAAAUCUACAAAAUACCAGUUUUCGGCAUUUCGGCUUUCGACUUUUGCCGAUCUAGACUAAGAAAGAGAGUGUUAGUUACACACCUGUUUGCGACGAUGUGCUGACGAAAUCCACAUACGAACCGCCUACAAUUGGAUUACUAACACGUUAAUCUAACUAUUCAAAUACAAACUACGUAUUAACCCCUUACAAUAUUCGGCCAACCACACCUACAGAUCAUAGUAAGCUUAUAAGAAAUCAAUAAGCAACUCAUUAACAAAUUUUUGUCAAUGUUUACCACAUAAUCAUAAUUUCACUGCAAGCUGUCUUCCUGAGCAACAGUCACUAAAUUAUUUAUAACUGGAGCUACGAAACUCCAAAUCAAGUUCCAUUAAUUUUCCAUGAAAAUAGACUCAUAUAUCUUAUAUCCAUAAAAUUUUCAGAAGUUUUGGUUUGGCCAAUCAAUACCAGAUUUUUCUCAAAGUUUCGCAUGUUUCACUGUUUGACUAAUCUGACCACUCUUCAUUACGAAUCAAAUUUCUCAUUGUAAAGAAUUCAAAAUAUGUUCUUGUUUAUUUCAUUUGAAACUAGACUCAACAAUCUUUAAUUACAUAAUUUAUUCAGCUUCUAAUUCAUCUCCCACAAUUUAUGGUGAUUUUCCAAAGUCACGUUACUGCUGCUAUCCCAAACAGAUUUAUUACCAAAUCACUCUUUCACACAUAACUUGCAUGCAUGUUAUUUAAACAUGUAUAUCACCAAUCAAUCAUCACAUAUCUAUGAGUUUACUUAAGUAUAGUCUCCAUUUCAUCAUUUUAAAGCACAACAUGUUAGCCGAUUUUUCCCCUUAGCAUCUAAGGCACAUACAUGCUCAUUUGUUUGGCUCAACUUCACCUAUCUUCCAUUUUUCAUCAAAAGAACAUGAAACAACAACCAUUUCCUUCAUUUUCAUUCAUGACUAAAUGCUCACAACACAACUAAAAACCAAAAUAUGCUUUAAGAGUUAAGGUAGAAUCAAGAAGAACUCAUUAACAUCAAGAUAGAAGCAAACUACCAUGAACUUACCUUCAAUUUUCUUCCCCAAGUGACCGAACAUUCAAGAGCUUUCUCCUCUCCUUUCUCUUCUCUAACUUUAGGCUAUGAUGAACAAAGAUGGACAAAACUUUGUUCUUUUCACCCUUUUUUCUUUUAAUAAAAUUUCAUAUUUCAUCCAUUUAAUUCUUUAAUACAAAAGACAUGAAAUGCCCAUCAUGGAACAUUUACCUAAACCAUUAUCAUGGAGCAUUUACCUAACCCAUUAUCAUGGAAUAUUUACUUAAUCCAUUAUCAUGGAACAUUUACCUAACCCAUUAUCAAUUUGUACCAUGAAUUAUGGAUAUCAAGUGCUCAUAUUGUCUACAACAACAUGAUGGCUGGCCACUUCAUGUAAAAUGGGAGGUUUGUCAUGCAAAUCCUCCUAUUUUGCACUCCUAUUUAUUUGGCCACUUCAAUUUAGCCUAUAGCAUUUUCAAACAUUUUCACAUAGGUCCUAUUUCAUAAUUUCACCUCUUUUUUCUUAUGGAACAAAAAUUAACUAAAAUUGUUGGGUUCUAUAUUAAGCUUGGGCCUUCUAGAGGCCCACUAACAUAAUUAAACCUAUGCCAACAUUCACAGAAUUCCCAAAAAUUGGGGCGUUACAUGAUGUGGUUUAUAUUGCUUGUGGAAGGUAUUGAUUGUGGAUUAUUAGUUGGAGUAACUAAUAGUUGAAUUUAAGAUUUGGUAUGUUUGUGGUUCUAGGUAAAUGAAUGGUUGAAAUGCUUGAGAGUAUAGAUCAAAUAAUGCAUAUUUGUUAAUGGUCAUUUUGUUGAUUUGGGAAGAUAAGGUUUGGCAUGAAUUUGGUUGGCAUAAUAUGGUAUUUAUAUUUUGUAUAGAUUGGUGUUUGAAAUGGUAUAAGUUAUGCUUGAUUUGGAAUUGAAAUAUAUGCCUAAUGAUACUAUAUUGUGUGCCAUAUGAGUGUCUAAUGAUACUAUAUUGUGUGCCAUAUGAGUUGUGUAGGUGUGCCUAAAUUUGGGUGGCAAAAUGACUUGGUAAAUAGCCUAUUUUUGUCCACACAGGCAGAGACACGAGCGUGUGUCUUAGCCGUGUGUGACACACGGUUGUGUUACACGGCCGUGUGUCCCCUGGUGUGGUUUUAGAAAUCAAGUCAAUAUGCUCCACACGGCUUCACACACGGGUGUGUGACUUGUCCGUGUGGCAUAAGUCAGUAUACCCUACAAGUUUGGCACGGCCUAGCACACGGCUGGUACACGGGCAUGUAUGGCCAUUAUUAGGGCAUAUGAGCUAGCCACAUGGACGUGUGUGUUGGUCGUGUGACCCAAGUUAGAGAGUUACAUGUUGUAGGACACAGCCAUGUGCUCCCAUUUCGAAUGUCCACACGGCCUGUGACACGGGCAUGUCUGACCACACGGGCGUGUGUCUCCUGUUUUGAGAAAAAUUUUCUAAGUGUUCCAAAUGUUUUAAAAGUUAUCGACUUAGUCCCGAAACACUCCCAAAGCAUGUUUAGGGCCUCAUAGGUUCGUAUUAGGGAAAAAUUGAUUAAGAUUGAAUGAUGAAUGUUUGAUUUGAGAAAAUGUAUGCUAAAUGGAUGUUUAAUUGUUUUGUAAGUCUAGUAAUGCUCCACAACUUUAUUCUGGUGUUAAAUACGGUGAGGGGUGUUACAGAAGAUCCAUCACACUAUCUAUUGAUUUUAUCAGUAGAUUUUGAUUUCUUGAUCAAGGUUAUAAUGACAUGUAUAGGUGGAAUUUGAUGAGUUUGGCAUGUAUACAUAUCAUUUGGAAUUAGCUAGAUUGGUGUCAUUUAGACGGUUUUGAUGCUUAAAUGGUUGGUAUUGGAAUGGUCAAAUGAAAGUAUACUUUGAAUGGCCAAUUUAGUAUGUUUGGUUGUAUUUUGGAAUAAGUCAAUUAUACUAUGUUUUGGCAUAGAGACAAAAUAGAUGAUAAAUGGUAAAUGUGCACAUAUUUAGAUUGAUUUGAUAUUUAUGUUUGGGGUGCAUUUUGGAAUAUUGGUUGUAUGGAUAAAUGACCUAUUGAAUUGAUCUUACUAUGCAUAUUUUAGGUAUGUUUGAAAGCUUGAUUGUAUGUGCAAAUGUUUUGUAUGUGUGACCAUGUUUAGGGUGAAAGAAAUGGAUUGAAAAUAACCUCUUUCUUGUCCACACGGCCUAAGACACGGGCAUGUGUCUCAACCGUAUGUGACACACGACCAUGCAACACGACUGUGUAUCCUCUGUAGGUUUUUAAAGGUUGCAUUUCGAGGGUACACGGCCUGGCACACGGGCGCGCAACUUGGCUGUGUGACCCAAGUUAGAGAGUUACACGGGCACAGAUACGGGCUGGGACACGACCAUGUGUCCCUACUUAGAAUGCCACAAUUUUCUUCUUUUUUCUGAAAAAUUCUAUAUGUUUUUGAUUUAGGCUCCGUUUGUUUGCCAUUCUGGUGCUUGGAUGAGUCUAUGUAAAUUAUUUUCUAUUAUUUGGUAGAUUUCCUGAAAAUAUUUCAUAAAAGCUGUUUUAAAUUAAACAAAUAUAUAUUUAAGAAUUUAUUAUCUUUUCAUUGUUUAAUUGAGUUUAUUGUAUAUAUUAAUAAAUUUAUAUUUUAAUUUUUUUACAUAUAUUGCAAUGAUUUAUUUAUAAAUAAGAAAAUCAAAUUAAAUAUUUAAUAAUACUCAAUUAUUAAGCUAGAAUAUUAACCGUCAUAAACUAAAAACAACCAAAGCAAAUAAAUUAUUUCUAAUUGUGUUAUAAAAAAAUAAAAAAAACAAAGAUUGAAUAAUUAUAAAUUACCUUCCAAACCACAAUUAAUACUAGAAAUUAAUAAUAUUAUCCAAAUGCAUAAUUAGUAGUACACCAUAUGAUAACAACAAUAUUGUCCAAGUGCAUAACUAAUAUUUCACCACAUUAAAGUAUCAAUAUCUUCAACCUUGAGAAAAUUUUUGAAGCCAAAAUUUUCUAUGCUUCUUACUUUUAACUAAAAAAGCUUUGGCUUCGGAUUCAUGACCUACAAGAUAAUCAAACACACUACAAAGGAAGUCAUCAUCAAAUCCUUCUACCUCCAUUGACAUCACUUCUUCGUAAAGAUGUGGUGUCUUAUUCGCAGUAAAUUGUUCCAAAGCAUUAGCAAUUUUGCCAGGUUGUUCACCCACAAAUUUAAUUUGCUCAUCAAUGACAAAUUUAGAUUUGCCAAGAUACUGUUGUUCUUACCCCCUUAAUCUCUUCAUUGUCGCAGUCUAUAGGCACUGAAUCUUGGUUACCAUCAUCUAAAUUUAUGUCAGCAAAUGUUCUGGAAAAACUCCUUAUUGCCAUAUUUUUGCCAACAACCAAAGCCAUUUUAUCAUAAUGAUCAAUGCUUUUACUCAAAAAUGGUUCAUACUUCUUGUGUGCCUGUUGGAUAUUAUACACAAUUAGAAUAACAAGUAAAAAAAAAUUGAAAUAUACUUAACAUAUAUAUACAUAUAUUACCAUCACUGCUGCAUCAUAUGUCGCUCAAUCACAUGUGAUCAUUUUCAUGUUAUCAUCCCAUCCAAAACCAUUUUCAGCCCGAAUUGUGCAUAUAAUCUGCCACUGGUUUUUUACAGUCCUCAAAUGAUUUUUCACAUGCUUCCUAUCGCAUUGGACUUGAAAUCUUUCAAAAAUAGCUAUGGCAAAUUGAUUAAUAGAAAUUACUUUGAAAGUGUUAGAAGGCUUAUUUCCUUUCUGGGCCUCCUUUGCUAGAAUUUCAAGAAAAAGAUGUUCCAUCGGUUUUGUCCACUUGAAUUACUUGGAGGUCCCUUCUUUGUUGCCCUUAGCCAUUCUACAUUAAUAAUUGUCAUUGCCAAUCAUUUCAAUAUCCAACAAGCUUAAAACAUAAUAAAUUCAAUACCUAACAAAUUCAAGACAUAAUAAUUUCAAAAUCCAAUAAACUAAUUUCAAUAUCAUUAUCCAACCAACAUUAAAAAAAACAAUUUUAGUACUAAAACAUACAUAACAUAGAAACAAUAACCCUAAGUCUUAAACCUAUCUAAUAUUUCUAGCCAUAUAAUCAUUCCACAUAGUUUGUGCAAUUUCCUCUCUCUUAGUAGACCAUUCUCUUGCUUUUUCUCUUCCGCUCCGUAAGAGUUAGUAUUGUCAAAUUAGACUCAGGCUCAUCGUAUAAUCCUUGAUUAAGUAAAUCACUAAGAUCAACUCCCAUUAUAUGAUUAUAAAUGAUACAACAAGCCAAAACUAUAUCUACUUGAGUUUGAUAGUUCCAAAAUGGUUCAGCAUCUAAUACACGAAACUUUUUGCUCAAAAUCCCAAAAACACGUUCAAUAGUGAUUCGCAAUGAUGAAUGACGAAGAUUACAGAGUUCCUUUGCAUUUUCAGGCCCCUGAGCACUAAACUCUUUUAAUGAUAUCGGACACCACGAUAUGGGAUAAUAUAUCCAUUUCGGAUGUCAUAUCCAGCAUCAGCAAAAUAAUAUUUACCUACAAUUUUGCAAAACAUAAUUAUUGCCAAUAAAUUAUGAGCUUACUAGAAGUAUUUGGUAUUUAAUGUUAAUUCUUACCUUUUAGAAUUCUUAAUCCUCUUGGGCGUGAAAGUGCAUCGCUUAUGAUACGAGAAUCAUGUCACUACCUUCCCAAUCAGCUAAAACAUAGGAAAAUUUCAAAUCAAAUGUAAUGACAGCCAAUACAUUUUGUGUCGUCUUCCCUUUACGGCUACGAAAUCUUCCUUGAAUGCUAAGUGGAACAGAUAUACGAACAUGAGUUCCAUCUAAUGCUCUAAUACAAUAUUUAAAAUAAGGAUAAAACCUUGGAUUGUUUCUGAUUUCACUAGGGCUGACUUAUUAGGUAAUUUAAUAACUAGUUUAUACAAUUUCAAAAUAGCUCCCAAUACAACCCUAAUGUAACGGUGAAUUGUCUUCAAUUGAUCUAUAAUAUCUAGAUCCAAUCACUUGAAACCUUAUAUUUUGACCAAUUAUAUGUAAAAAUAUAAUGACUUGCUCCCUAAUAUUCACUGAUUUAGUUGAUUGUAACAAAUUAUUCCUACUAAGAAUGUCACACAAAUUAAAAAAGGCAAUUGGUCUCAUCCUUAUCACAUCAAUACAAUGCUGGUCACCACUAUAUAAAAUACUAUUAAUAUAAUUUUCUCUUUCAUUAUCUCGAUUCACACGAGGGUGAGAAGCAAUUUCCUUCCUAGUUUUUAAUUUUUUAAUCCAAAGAGCCCCAAAGCUAAAACUAAAGCCAUGACUCUGACAAAUGCAUUUUGAUCUUGAUUACGAUCCAUCUAGACAAAAUAAUGCCACACAAAUAUUUGAGCACUAAAAAAAAGAUGCAAGCUUUUCAUAAGAUCACACAAAAAUAUAGCACAAUAAGUUGCAAAUACACUUGUUGAAACAGAUAAUGGAAUCAUGGUAAAAAUUAUGAUUUUAAGUAAACUUCAAUAAAAGAUAAUGCAUAAAAAUGCCAUGUACGGAAUAAAAUAUACAAUAGUUAUACAAUCAAAAUCAUUAUCUUUCCAGGAAGAAAUUACCUUUUUAUCAAGGCUGAUAGCUUUGGUACAAUUUGCUUUUGCUCAGAGGAAAUUGAAGGGGAGGGAAAAAAAGCAAGUACCAAAAACCAAAGUGGAUGUAGUUAACUUAUUUAUUAUAUAUAUGUGUUAAAUAAUUGGGUUUGGCAUUUUUUUCCCUUGACCUACCAUGGCUUGUAUUUUAAGUUGAAUGAUUCUUUUUACUAUUAUUUAGUGAUGGAACUGAAUUCCAUGCAAUAUAUUUGAUUUAAUUUUAGCCUUCUCUAUUAAAGUAGGUGCUUAAAAUUCAAGCAUUGACCAUAAAAUUUGAACAGAGUCUAUCAAUUUUUUUAACAGGCUUGUUUAACAGAUAUGGAAAAGACAACAUAGGGAUAUCAAAAACUGAAAGUCCAGCAUAAUAUAAAAUAAGAUCUAUCAGCUAAAUUUUAAUUCUAAUGGAGAUUUGGAAAGUCAUUUUAGUGGCAAUCCAAUCACAUGGGACAAGAAAGAUGCUUAAUUCCUUUUCGUUUAGUUGCUUGCCUCUAUGUAAAGAAUACAUAUAUAUAAUAGUGCAAAAUGAAAAUGACGCUCAUUCCGAAACUAAUUCAAUUAAUUUGUACACAUAUUUUAGAUCUAAUUUUGCUGCAAGUCUCUGCACUCUUUGAACAUUUAAAAUUUAGUCCCAAGCUUUUUUUUAUUUACCUACAAUCUUAGCCGCUCCAAGGCAUUGACUCUCCCUCCAUCUCUGAGGUACCUACACGCCAUUUUGGUUCACACGAUUACAGGAAGGCGAAAGAGCAUUGGCAUCGUCAACACUCACGACGCCAACUUUUUAUGGUGUAUGUCACACGGGCACGUCAUCGACCUUGCCUAUUUUAUCGCCCUCGCGAUUCAGCACCAGACAGAGCGGCAUAGGAAGAAGGUCUUCUCUAUUGGCCCCUAUGUUACUCGGUUGCUCGACACUUCAAGCUCCUCAGCACCGCAACCCAAGAAUCAAUCUUAACCCUCAUUGGCCAGAUGUCUCCACAAGGCAUCUCGAGCAUGCUUAGCAUGAGGAUGAUCGAAAAGCGCCGAGAAAUCUACCCUCCUCAAUAUUGUCUCACCCAAUCUACCGAGCAGGAGGUUUACGAGGACAUUUCUGAUGAUGUCCCGUCACAGUAUGAGGACCUACCGACUCAGCCACUACCACCCUCUCGUCCGGUUCAUGCGGCGGCUUCAUAUGCUGACAUCUCUAUGCACCUUACUCGAUUCGAGCAGCAGUGUUUUCAACGAUUUGACAACAUUGAUGCUACUCUACAGCAGAUUUGUCAGCACCUCACAUCUCAUCGCCAGUCCCACCUCGCGAACCAUCCAGCGAUGAAGAUGUUUAAAAACAUUUAUUUAUUAUUUUAUGUUUUUAAUUUUUAUUAAACCUACUGUUUAUUUUUAUUAAGAUUUUAGAAUUUUAUUUUAUUAUCAAUUUCAGUUAUUUCAUUAAGAGUAAUUAUUCUUACUAAUAUACCCUAACAAGUUCCUGAUUUUUUCACAGUUAUAUAAAGCUCCUAAGCUCAUCAUCGCAUAGGAACUAAAAACUCCACCGGGGAAAGGUUUUCCACGACUGCAAUGUCCUGAUCGACCACGACCAUAGCUACCACUAGAUAUAAUAUUCUUUUGGUGCAGGACUUAUGGACUAAUGAACCUCUACCAUCGCCGGAGUAUCCUCCUUCACUCUCGCACCGAUUACUCUCCAAAACUCCAGUUCGAGGAAUUCAUCAUACAGGAAGUUUCACUUCUCCCCCUAUCUUAUGAUUACAAAUUUAUCUUUUCCUAUCUAUCUUUGUACAUUGAGGUUAAUGUACAUAUUAAGUGUGGGGGGGUAUUCAUUUCAUUAUCAGAAAAAUCCCUGAAUGACUGCCUUGUUCUCUUGAAAAGCUCUCAUAUCAUAUUUAGGAUAAAUUUUGAUUGAUUUAUGAUUUUGAUUGAUAUAUCUUGAAUUAAAAUAUAGGAAUUUAUGCAUUGAUUGUUUAAACCUUAAGAUAUUAGAGAAUCGAGCAUGAUAAGUUAAUUUUUAAGAAUUUAAAAUUUUAAGUUAUUUCCCCAAAGUUUAGGUAUUACUUUGAGUUGGAAUUCACAAGUUUUAAACAUCAAAAAACCAUAAUUUUUGUGAGAUUUUUGAGCCUUUUAAGCAUCUAUUAAUUUUUUCAUGCUCACUUUUAUUAUUGCUUUGAGUGCGUCAGUAUUGAACUGUUAUUCUUGAACUUGCUUGAUUAUGCAUGUCAAGACCACACCAUUUGAUUUGAUAUGCCAAAAUGAUUAAGGCAUUUAGGAUUAACCCACUCAUGCCAUGAAAAGCCUACCUCUACGAUUAACCCCUAGUAAACCCCCUUGAGCCUAACAAACCAUUUCUUGUAUUACCCUUAAUAUUAGCCCUUAACCCAUUAUUGUUGAAAUCCCCUAAAUUAAUUUGAUCCCUAUUUUUGUCGAGAUUUGAAUUGAAAUAGUUGCUUAACUAUGUUUUAUUCUAUUUUGUAGUUAUCUGUUCUUACAAAAAAAAAUGUAUACAUAUUAGUAGUAGUAAUAUUUUAUUUUUGAGCUUAAGUAUUUAAUUCCAUUUUCUGAGAAGAAGCUCUAUUGUAUGCAAGUGAUACUAAAUCUUUUUCUAGUUAAGUGAUUUUUCAAUUCAAUCUCGAUUCUAACUUUUGCUUUCAGCCUGUGACCACAUCCCCUAACCAAGCCUCAUUACAACAUUCUAAAGACUUUUUGAUUGAUGUAUCAUCUCCAUUUAUAGUGGUGGAGAUUUGAUUUUCAUGCAAGCCUAUGGUAAUGAUUUUUCAUUAUUGACUAUUGAUUGCUUCAAUUAUUGUCCUUAAACACUAGUGAUUUGAGUGAAUCUUUGGUGAGGAUAUGAAACUCUGUGAUAUUCUGAAUCAAAGGUAAUUACUUAGAUGAUGGGAGACACUUAUGUUUGCAUGAUUAAAUACUCAACCUGGAAUGUAUGAAACUUUCAUGUUCUUUUAGUUGAAUUCUCAAUGUAUGAUUACCUAUGGAUUAUUUUGAGAUAUUAUCAAUAGAAAUUAUAAAUUGAGAAGAAUUUAUUUUGAUUAUGAGUUGAGAAUUUUUCUUGAGGACAAGCAAAUGCUUAAGUGUGGGGGUAUUUGAUAAACCGUAAUUUAUACAUAUUUUUACCCUAUGUUUAACGCAUUUUAUGGAUGAUUUCCCAUUAGAAUCGAUGAAUUCGAUGCUCCUAAUGCUUUAAUUUCAUGUUUUAUACUUAGGAGAGCAUAGGAGAGCGAAAUGAACGAGAAACGAACCAAAAACAGAGAAAAAUGGGCCAAAGUACGAAUUCAACACGGCCUGGACCUCCUCACACGGGCAGACCAUACGGCCGUGUCAAUUUGGCAGAUUCGAAGCACGACUCACACGGGCGUGUCCCUGCCGAGCUCAAGUUGAGUCCAAUUAGGAAGAGGCCAAUUUUGAGGGCUUCUAGGCAUUUUAAAGCCUAUAAAUACACCCUAGAGGAGGAAAGUAAGAGGAGGCAUGGAGAGGAAGGAAGGAAUUACUCGAAGGAAGUCGAUUGAUCCAUCUUAGAAGCCGGAGUCACCAUCAAGACUAAAGAUCUCUCUUCAAUUUCCCUUCAGGAGUUUUAGGUUUUCUUUAUGUUUUGUAUUCGUUAUUCUUCUGAGAUGUUUUCCUUUUUAGUUAUAAACUAAAUCCCCUAAAUACCUAAGGGGAAUGAAACCUAAGACGAAUCUUGUUAUUAUUUUCUGAAUUGUAUGAUAAAUAUUUAACUUGUUCUUAAUUAUGUGUUCUUAAUUCUUGUUUUGAUAUCCCAGGAUACUGAUUCAAGAUAACCUCUUAUUCAGAGGAGGAAUAGACCGUGUCUAAGAGUACAUUUGUCAUAAUUAAGCGGAGUUGUUUGCGCGCACAGACAUAGGGUGACAAGAUUUUGCCGGAUUAGGGUGAAACCUAAUAAGGGGAUCCAUAGUUCGAGUUAAUGCAACCCUAGGGUGUUAAUUAGAGAAAAGUCUCAAUUAAUCAAUCUAAGGAUUAGACAUUAUUAGUCUUGAAUAGGGAUAAUAACAUAACUUAGGGAUCUCUACGGAACAAGUUAAAUGAAUAAAUCGUUUAAUUCAGAGCCAGAAUAACAAGUACAGUCUAAGUGGAUUUUUUCUUAGGCAUUGUCUUAAUUCAAUCGUUUUCCAAAAGUAAUCCCUCAAUUCCAUUCUCUGUGAAUUCUUAGAUUAGUUAAUUAGUUAGUUAAAACAAAACCACCUUAUUCUUAGGCUAGAUAAUAAAAGACAGUCAUUACUAGUACUUUUAGUUCCUUUGGAUUCGAUAAUCUGGUCUUGCUAAAACUAUACUACUGUUCGAUAGGUACACUUGUCUACAUCGCGAUAAUAGUUAGUUUCAAGAACGAUUAAUUAUUAAUAUUUAAAACCUAUCACGAAAUAACACGAUCAACGGUUCAAUGAGCAUUCUGAGAAAUAUGUGAUUGAAUGAAUGAAUAACCGAUUUAGAUUCGUGAAGAUGUGUUCAACAAUUGUUAAUAAGAAGUAAGUAUAUGUACAAAUGAUGAUAUGUGAUAUAAGUAUGAGAAAAUAUGCUAUAAGUGCAAAUGAAUUGGGAAUAUGUGAAAUGUAUAUGAAAUAUGUGGUUUGUGAUAGUAUUUGGCUAUGGAGUAUAUGUGUUUUAUGAUACUUAUAAGCUUAAAAUGAUAAGUUUAUCUCAAUAUGGCUUACUAAGCUUGUGAAAGCUCACUUUGUAUGUUUUUCAACUAUUCUUUAGAUAUCGAAGCUACCGAGAGCUCUGGGAUCGUCGAGGAUCAUCACCACACUAUCGAACUCUAUUUUGGUACCUUUUGAAAAUGUAAAUAGUGAAGUAUGGCAUGUAUAGGCUAGAAGUAUUAGUAUAUGUUUUGAGAUGUGUAUAUCUAGCCAUGUGAUAUGGCUUGGUUAUGGUUGAGAUUAUGAAUGAAUUUUGGUAUAUGCUAUGUGUUCAGAAAUGGUAUGUUUUGAUGUACUCUUGAAUGGCCAAAGAGAAUUGGUCAAUUUGGUAAGAUUUUGGUAUGUGCUUAUUUGAGGAAUUGGUAAGAUUAUGCCAUGAGAUUGAAUGAAAAAUAUUGAGGUUAUGAAACAUAUGUUCUGGUAUAACAUUUGCUUAUGAUUUGGUAUAAUUUGGUAUGGAUUAUAAGCAUGAAAUUGGUUGAUGACUAUAUGACAUAAAAGAUGUAUGUUUUGUGUUUGAAAUUGGUUGGAAUUAUGGUGAAAUUGUGCUUGGUUUUAAACUUGUAGGGAUGGCCCAAAAUGGGUGGCAAUUUGGCCUUUCAAAUGGUCUAUUUUUGUCCACACGGGCAGAGACACGGGCGUGUGUCUCAGUCGUGUGCGACACACGAUCAUGUUACACAGUCGUGUAUCGCCUGGGGUGGCCCUACAAUUUAAAGUCAGUCUCGAGCACGGCCUAGGCACACGGGCGUGUGGUUAGCCGUGUGACCUAAGUCAGUUUCGACCAUGGCCAAUGCAUACGGGUAUGUCUCAGGCUGUGUGGUUCAAGUCAAUAUAUAUGCCCUGUUUUGCCACGGCCUAGACACACGGGCGUGUCUAAUGCCAUUGAGGCACACGGCCUGUUGACACGAGCAUGUGACUUUUGUAACUUUAAAAAUUUGUAAAGUUUCUAAGAAAUUUUAUAUAUGCUCGAUUUAGUCUCAACCCCUUCUUAAAGCAUGUUUAAGGUCUCGUUGACUUAAGAAAGGGACUUUGUGAUGAAGUCUGACUAUGAUGCUAUGACGUGUGGAUGAUAUUUGUGAAUUGAUUAUUAAAUGUUCCGAUAUGUCUAGUAAUGCCUCAUAACCUUAGUCUGGAGACGAAUACAGGUUAGGGGUGUUACAGUUUUACUGGAAAACAAUCGGAGCCUUAGUCCCAACUUGUUUCUAAUGUGUUUUUAGGGUCUCGAGGGCUCGUAUAAGGGAAAAUAUGUAUGAUAUUGAUUGACUUUGCUAUGAUUGAUGUUGAGUUAGUAAAUGAUUAAAAUUUGUGAUAGUUUUGAAACGUAAACUCCAGUAAUGUUUCGUAACCCUCUCUCGGUGACAGAUACAGGUUAGGGUUGUUACAGUACGUGUCAAAAGUAGUGUUUCCAAAUAGGCUAAUUCGAGCGGGUGUAGUUGAUUCACUGGUAAGUGUUGGUUUCGUUAAAAGUUUCCUGUCAUAGUUUUCGACAUAGUUCAGUAAGUGUUAAAUUGUGUGAAUUUCGUUGUUUUAGUCUAUUAAUUGAUUCUGGUUGGCUAAUUUAAGCUUCGAGAUUUCUCUAUGUUGUUUUUGCGUCAAAACUACUUAAGACGCGUACCGAAAACCCAAGUUUUUACUAAUUUUGGAUGCCAAAAAAUAUGGCUGUCGAUGCCACACGACCGUGUGGUAGGCUUUGUGCACCACACGAUUGUGUAGUAGACCGUGUAACUAACUGUUCUCGAAUUAAAGACGCACGGGCUAGAGGCACAGGCAUACUCCAAGGUUGAAACGUUGAUAGACAUAAAUAGCAACGACCACUUCAUUGAGUGUAAGAAAUAGAUUGAAAUCGAGGCACUUAGGCGUUGAUUCAGUCAGUGCUCAAUAGAAUAGAGUUAUAGACCUUGACAAAAAGGUCGAGAUGAUGAGAAUUUUCUUUGCACAAUAGUGGAAAUCCUUUAGAGAGUAGUGGGAGCUACUCCACAAGUUGUGCUAGUAGCUGCAGCUCAGCAAGCCCUAAUAAGGGAGUUGCGAAAAUAUGGAGCAAUCAAGUUUAGAGGUUUGAAAGGUGUCGAUUCAUCCUCAAUUAAAAUCUAGUUAGAAUCGACUGAACGGGUCUUGCAACAAUUAGAAUGUUCACUGCCAAAGUGUGUCACUUGUGUGAUAUCUCUCCUAAAAGAAGAAACUUAUCAACGGUGGCUAACUGUUACACGUCAUGUGCCAAUGAACCAAAUCACUUGGACGUUCUUUUUGUCUGAGUUUGGGAAGAAGUAUAUCCGUGAAUUGUAUUUGGAAGAUAGAAAACAAGAAUUUAUGAUGUUGAAGCAAGAGAAUAUGCUAAUAGUCGACUAUGAAUAAGAGUUCUUGCGGCGCAAUAAGAGUUAGUGCCCACAGAAGAGGAAAGUUGUAAGCGAUUCCAUCGGGAAUUGCAAGAUCAACUCCGAGUUCAGUUGGUCUUGCAUAAGUUUAAGGAAUUUGCUGGUCUAGCUGAAUGAUCAGAAAUAGUUGAUCAAAACUUGGGCUUAGAUAAGAAAGACGACACUCUCUGAGCAUUCAGAAAGAGAUUCAAGACUAUAGGUUUGCAACCUCUACCUAAGCGAGGUAGAGAGUCUCAAAGAUCUUGGAAAUCAAUUUCAUCGAAUGUCAAAUACGAGAAAGACCAGGUUAAACAAUCAUCAUUAUCUAUAAACAAUGUUGAGAAGUAAAAAAAAUGACGUAAGUAUUCCGAACUUUGAACAUAGAAGUGAAUGUGGGAAGAAAACAUGAGCAUGUUUUGAAUAAGAAUCCUUAGAGCAUAUCGCUUGAAAUUUUUUGAGAAGUGUUAAUGAUAUUUCUGUUGCUACCCUGGGAUUUGCAUCUAUAGCUAGAGGUUAGAGAAUUGCCCGUGGUGGCUUAGUUGCAAGGGGUAGUCAGCAGAGAGAAACUAAUUUAGUAGUACAUAUUCCCCAUUACAUUUCAAGUAAAAUUUGGGGGACGAAGUUUCUUGAAGAGGAGAAUUGUAAUAACUCGAAAUUCAGUAGUGUCAAAAAUUGUGAUUUCGGGACCUUAUUUCUGUAAAUUGAGUCUCUAAAUAUUAAAUAGGGUUAUUUACAGAGUUAUUAUAUAAAUGAAUUAAAAUUCAAUUAUGUAAUUUAGUCAAAAUUAUGGUUAGUUAAGGCUCAGAGACAAAAUUGUAAAAGUUUAAUCAUUAUAGAAUUUUAAUUAAGAAAAGACUUGAAGACUUAUAUAGUAAUUAUCCAAAGGUCUAAUGUAACACCCCUAACCUGAAUUCUUCAUCGGAACAGGGUUAUAGAACAUUACUGAAAAUUUCAGAUAUUAAACAGAUAUUUCACAUUAUAUAACGUACAUAUCAGAAGUCAAUCAUAAUGUCCCUUAUUUAAGCUCUUAAGGCCCAAAAUAUACAUUAGAAACAAGUUGGGACUAAACCGGUACUUAGAGAAUUUUUCUCAAAAUUUUUUUAACAUUUUUCCAAAGUGCAAGGGACACACGCUCCUGUGGUCCACACAGCCAAGAGACACGCUCGUGUCCCAGGCCGUGUAGACAUUUGAAAUAGAGACACACGGUUGUGUCCAGCCCGUGUCUGUACCCUUACAACUCUCUGACUUGGGUCACACGGGCAAGCCACAUGCCCGUGUGCUAGGUCGUAUGAACAUAAUAACUUGCAUUAAAUAGGUGCAGAGUCACAUGGCCAAGCCACACGCUCGUGUGCCAGGCCGUGUAAGAAAUUUUGAGCAUUUUGUUUUAAAAUUUAAAGAUGUAGGUAACACAUGCCCAUGCGCUAGGCUGUGUGUCACACACGGCUAAGACACAUACCUGUCUCUCUAUCCGUGUGGAUGAAAAUAGGUCAUUUUGAAGCCACAUUUCUCACCCAAUUUGCAUUCCACCUACAUCAAUACUUUAACACUUUCACAAGCCAAUAUAAAACAUUCAAAUCAAGCUAAAACUAAGUCUUAUAGAUGAUAUAUCAACUCAUAUGUUCAAUUAUCCAAACUUACCAAAAUAACCAUACAUACAUAUAGACAUAUUUUACCAAAUUUAUACUAUUACAAACCAAUCAUCAACAUAUUAAGGCCACUUUUUACAUAUCAAAACAUACCAAUUACAAGCCAUACCAAUGGCUAAUUUCAACCACAAAUACAUGCCACUAUUGGCUAAAUUUAACCUAUACAUGCCAUUAUAAGUCCGAAAUGACUAAAGGAUAGUGUGAUGUUGCUCCGACCAGCUUCCAACCAAUUCGAGCUUCCAAAUUACUAUAAAACAGGGAAAAUAAACUGAGUAAGCUUUUAAAGCUUAGUAAGUUCGUAUAAUAUAGAAUUAAACUUACCAUUAUUUCACACAUAAGGUAAGUAAACUAAACAUGCUCGAACCAUUUUGGCCAAAUGCCUAAACACAUAUCCUCAUCAAGCAUGUUAGUCAUGAGAUUCAUGUAAUAAUUCAUACUCAGAAAUGUACAUAUUCAUGUAACAAUUCAUAAUCACAAAUGUACAUAGUUGUCAAGCAAGUUUCAUACACAUGUAUCUUUUAUCCCAUUUUUCAACAUGUCAAAUAUCAUUACUUUCAUGUAUUUCAAGCAUAUAUGAUAAUAAUUCAUUUUGUUCUCAUAUUGUUACAUAUCAGAAUUUCACUUGUUGAAUCAUUUAAAAUAUCGAUGGAUGCACGGGUAGUACACAUGAAGUUUACAAAACUGUAAUCCAUCAAUUCAUAUUCAAGAAUGCUCAUGUGAGCAUAUAAUCGAGAAGCUCCUCCAAGCCAUGUAACGGGAAGCUCAUGUGAGCUGUAUAACGGGAAGCUCUUGCGAGCCAAUUAUUAGGAAGCUUAUACGAGCCAUAAACGGGAAGCUCAAGAGAACCAAAUAUUGAAAAGGUUCAAGCGAGCCAAUAUCGAAAAAAUUCGGAGAGCCAUUAAUCUGGAAGCUCAUAAAAGAGCCUUUAAUCCGGAAGCUUUAGAGAGCCAUAUGUCGGGAUGCUCAUAAGAGCUGAGGUGUGUCCACAGCACAUGCAGGAUCACAACCAAUCGGGAUGCUUCGAAGAGCUAUUAAUGGGAAGCUCGCACAAACUAUAUAUCGGAAAGCUCAUGAUAGCUAAUAACAGGACGCUCUUUUGAGCUAUGGUGUGUCCACAACACAUGCAGGACCACAACCAAUUCGGGAACCCUCUAUCCAUCGAAUCUCAUUUAUCUAAAUAGGACUUAAUAUUUAUCGAGCAUGGUCGGAUAUGUGAUCAAUUUCAUAUAUAUGAAAUUUAUACAAUUCACAUAUACAACGUUCAAUUCAAGCAUAUAAAUAUACACAAUUUAGUUACACGAACUUACCUCGACAAUGUUUGUGUACGCAAGAUCUGCUAAUCUUAUACCUUUUCUUUUGCUACCUUUUCUUUUGCUAGUUAUAACUCUGUAUUUGGUCUAUCUAGAUCUAUAUGAAUGAAUUUAACGCUAAUUCAUACUCAAUUCAAUUCAAUUCAAUUCAAUUCACAUCUUUGGAAAAAUUACCAUUUUGCCCUUAUACUUUUAUUUAAUUACAAUAUCGUCUCUAGGCUCGAAAAAUGAAAUUCAUGCAAUUUAAUCCUCAUUCAAAGCCUAAAUAAUUUUUACAUGUAACAAUAGUAGCCUAUUUAUUUCAUAAAAUUUAUAAUUUUUCCUUGAAUUUUACAUCUUUUCAAUUUAGUCUCUAAAUCAUGAUUUCAUCAAAAUUCCCUUAACAAAAGUUGUUUAUCUAUCAAUAGCCUUUCAUUUUCUACCAUAAAACUUCAUAAUUCAACUAUAUUCAUCCAUGAAAAAAUCCUAGUACUUUGAUAACUUUGCAAAUUAAUCCCCGAGAUAGCUAAAUUAAGUUAUUACGAUCUUGGAAACAUAAAAAUCAUUAAAAACGGGACAAGAAUACUUAUCUAAUCAAGCAAAAAUGACUUGCUUGAACUCAAUACCCAUGACUAGGGUUUCUAUGCAUUUUUAUUUGGGAAAGAUAAUAAUAUAUAAUAUUUUUCUUUAUUUUAAUAAUUUAUUAUCUUUUAUUAUUUCUCUUUCCAAUUUAAUCCUUUUCUUUAUCAUCUACUAACUCCUCUUAAUGGUCUAUUUGUCAUAUAAGGACCUCCAAUUUUGAAUUUCAUAGCUAUUUAAUACCUAUAACUACUAGAACUCAACUUUUGCAUUUUAUGCAAUUUCGUCCUUUUAUCAAUUAAUCAUGUAAUCGAUAAAAUUUUCUUAACAAAAUUUUUAUACGAUAUUCCUAUCAUACGGUAGACCAUAAAAUAAUAUUAAAAGAAAUUUUCUUUCAGGCUCGGAUUGUGGUCCCGAAACCACUGUUUUACUGAAAACGGGUUGUUACAUCUAAAGUGGUUAAUAAACCACUUUUGAAUAGUUGAUAGUGGAAUGUGAUGAUGGAUGGUUAUUAAACUAAUUAAUUAAGGUUUAAAAUAAAAUAAAAAGUUUAAUUAAAGGUUAAUAAAGAUUAAUUAUAUAAUAAACUUAGUAUAAGAGUGAAAUUGAUGGAUGGAGAUAUGAAAAACUCAUCUUCUCCAACCGGUCAAAAUAAGAAAACAAAAAAGGCACACCAUUUUUAAAGCUUAGGGAAUUCAGCCAUUUAAUUGAAGUAAGUCCCUAGCAAUUUUUAUGGAAAUUGAAUCAUGGGAGCUUGAUUUAGCUAGCCCGUGUACCAAUUUGGGAAAUUGUUAAAGUUUUUGAAACUUGCCAUUGUUGAGAAAUGGAUGGAAUUAGAGUGAAUUUGAUAAAAAUUAAGCUGAGAUAAUGAAAAUGACUAAAUUUUAAAGAUUAAUUGUUAGUUCUGUUCUAUGAAAUUUUUGUAGGAAUAGAAAAUAGAAGGUCCCUAAUGAAUAUAUGUGAAAUCAUAUUUUAAUCUGAAGCUUUAAAUUGAAAGUUAUGUUUGCCCUAGGUUUAGGGACUAAUAUGAAUAAAUUGCAUAAUGUUUUUGAUUUUAUAUUUUAAUAUGAAUUAUAUGGAUUUUGAUCUUGUUUAUUUAUUGAAUUAGUAUUCGUGGCAAAAGACAAUGUUGGGCCAUCUAGAGGGAAAGGAAAGGUGAGAGCCAACGACGAGUGGUGCGAGUUUCCGGUUUGUAUUCAUAUGAUUUGUGACCAAUAUAAUUAUUACAAAUUCAUGUUAAAUUUCAUUAUUUAGUAAUGGUGUGAGUAUAUAAUGGUUAUAUGAAUUAAAUUAUGGUGAUUGAUAUGGUUUAUCAAGAUAGAGAACUAAAUUGAAUAAAUAGAAAGUGGCAUAUUUAAUUGAUAUGUGAUAAUUGGUAUGAAAUUGAGUUGAAACAUGUUAUAUGAUGUGUUGGAAUGGUGAAUUGAUGAUGAAUUAAGAAUGAUGGAAUGUGAAUUGAACUAUGUGAUGAAAUUGAAAAGUUGGUUACUGUAUUAACCGUUUGAGGGGAGCUGAAUAUAGUUGGCAUGUCAUAAGAUUAUAUUGUGUAUGGGUUUAAUACUUCGAUUUAGCCAAUGAUGCACUUAUGUGCCAAUAUAUUUUCUUCGGUUCAUCCGAUGAUGCAUUUAUAUGCUAGUACAUUUCCUUCGGUUCAUCUAAUGAUGGACUUAUGAGCUAGUAUAAUUGAUUCGGCUUGUCUGAUGAUGCACCUUGUGUGUCAGUAUGAUUUCUUCAGUUUAUCCGAUAAUGCACUAUGUAUGCUAGUAUAUUUCUUUUGAAAACAAGCAAACGUUAACUAGAAGGAAGUUUCCUUCCCUUUGACCAUCGACAGAAGCCUAUACAAAUGGUUCCUACCACCCUUACAUUCUCAAAUAUUAAACUAAAGAAGGACUCAAUAAUUUACCAGUAGUUGGCUUGAAAAAGUCAGUUACUAAUCAAGUUGAAAGCUGGUACCUUCUUCACAUGACGAAGAACAUACUAAGUUUCUUUUGAAAGAACAAAGAUGAACGGAGAAAUGGAAAAUAAAUUCCUUCUCUGUUAAGCUUUCUUCCUAUUUAUAUAGGAAUUAGCCCACAAUUCCACUAUAACAGGUUAACUAAUCACUUUACAUGCACACAUGAUUCCACUAAUCAAUCAUUAUUAACGAGGCUUUACAAGUGUCAUGCAAAAUGACACGUUUCCUACAUACGACUUGACACUUUUCCCGUACUUGUCUUAUUGAUUAUGGAUUAUAAAAUAAUAGAUCUAUGUGCCACAAUUGAACUUGCCAAUGGCGGGUUCACAACAGAAAAGUUCACCUAAUGUGGAAUAGGAAAUCUGUAAGAUGGCAGAACCUAGCAGAACAUUCCACAAGAGAAACUUCACCAAAUAAAACAAUUUAUUUCUCGCAAAUUUGGCUAGCUCAUACGUGAGUCAACCGACCAAAAAGGCAGAUUAGAAAAACUCGGGGUGUCCAUAUAAGGCUUAUGGUUUGAAUGAAUCAAAUGAUACAUGUAGCGACGUAAAAAAAUUUUUAGUUUCGCUUGGUCGCUAAUUGUGGCGAUUUAUUAAACAUUUGAAAACCAACUUUCGAUUUUAUUAACAAAGGGAGUCGCCACCGAUCCUUUUUUAUAGGUGUGAUCGGACACCUAAUAAAAUUAUUUUAAAAUAAAAAGAAGGCCAAAUUUAGGUCUAUGUGAAAGUCCAGAGAAAAAUUGGGGUUCGGGAGUCAGUUACGCGUGAGGAAGGUAUUAGCACCCUCGCGACGCCCAAAAUUGGUAUCUCAUAAACAUGUGUUGACUUGAUUUUCAAAAAUACGAGUUCAAUAUAAUAUUUAAUCGUGAUCCGAUUGAAAAAUGAGAAUUUUUAGUUCUCGAUUUUUUUAGAAAGGGUGUCCCGUUUUUUAACACAAGCCGACGAAUUUCACCCAACAUAGCGAUGAAAUCGAUAGCUUAAUAUUAAAUCAGUACAUUGCCUUAUUUUUGAAAUUAAUUAAAACAUGAGAAAAAAUAUUCCUAAAGUGAGAAAUUAAAAAUAGAUAAAGGACGCAAAAAAAUGAUAUAAUUAAUGAAAAAUAUUAACAUGGAAUACUAGAAUAUUAGAAUAACAAUAAUAAUGAUAUUUACAAAAUAAAAACAAAUCAUGUACUAAUAAUAAAAUAGGAAAAAUGAUAUAUUUGGUAAUAAUAAUAUAAAAUAAUAAUAUGUACAUAAAAAUACAUAUAUAUAUGCAUAUAAUAAAAGUAUGUAAUAAUAAUAAUAUCUACAAUAAAAGAAAAUAUUAGGAAACGUACAUAAAAAAUAUAUACAUAAAAAAUUUACAACAAUAAUAUAAAAUAAUGAUAUGUACAAAUAUAUAUAUAUACAUAUGUACAUAAAAUAUACACUAAUAUAAUAAUAGUUAUAAUAAUACUAGCAAUAGUAAUAAUUUGUAAUAAUAAUAUAUACACAAUAUGGUAUUUAAAAUAUAUAUAUGUAUAUAUAAUAGUAUUUAAGAAUAUAUACAUAAGAAAUAUAUAACUAAUGGCAUUAAAAAAUAUAUACAUAAUAUAUAUAAAAUACAUAAAAAAAAUUAUUAACACACUACAUAAGUAAAUGAAAUAUAAUAAUAAUACUAAAAUAAUUAAUUUAAAUAGUAAAGUAACUAAAAAGAAUUAAAUUGAACUAAAAACAAAAUAUUUGGGGCAAAAUUGAAAUAAAAAUAAAAGGAAAGGGCUAUAUUGAACAUGCAUAAAACUGUGGGGGACCAAAAACACAAUUAAUCCUCCCCUCAAAACAUAACAUAGUAAGAGGGACUAAAUCGCAAAGCGCUACAUACUUUAAGGCCAAUUUUUGACAAAAAAAUCAUUUUGAAGAGAGAAAGAAAAAAAAAGGGAGAAAGAAGAGAGAAGGGAGGGGGGAAAGGAAAUCCGGCCAAGGGGGGCCGGUCACUGGCCGAUCGUCAGCCGCCGCCCGUCGCCGGCGCCGGCUACCGCCCACGAUGGCCAGAAAAGGUAAUUUUUUUUCUUAACAAUAUAUGUAUAUAUAAAGAAAGAAAAAAACAACACAAAAGAAAGAAAAAAAAAGAUUCGAAAGAAGAGGAAAAAAGAAAAAAAUGCAACCUUUUUAUUGAUGUUUCUUUUGUGUUCAAAAUUUGAAGGGAUUUUUGCGUUUGUCUCCUUUUUCAAUAUUUGUAAAAAUCCCCCCCUUACAUGAUUUUUGAAUGGCUUUUUAUAGCCAUCUUUUACAUGAUUUUCUAUUAUUUCUUUUUCUAUUUUGUAGGUGAUGGUGGUAGCAAUGGAUAUCAAAAAUGGGAGGAAAAAUGGGGCAAGUGGGAAAGUGGCUAGGUGGCUAGGGUUUCUUGGUUUUUUUUGGGGGGGGGGGUUAGGUUUUUUUUUUGGGUUAGGUUUUUUUUGUGAGGGGGCUUAAUGGGCUUUUGAAUUGGGUUUAAUAUUUGAGUUUUAUAAUGGGUUUGGGUAGAUGUAAAUGGGUCAUGGGUUAAGGGUUUUAGUGGGUUUAGAGGUUUGGUUGGGUUUUGAUGUAAUCGGGCCCGGGCAAUUUGGGCUUCUACAAUACAAAUGGACUUACAUGUUAAGAUUAGUUCUUUAAUUGUAUGAUCAAUUUGAUGAAUUGGUUGGAAUGGAAAGUUUAUGGUAGUGCAUAAAGUGCUAAAAUGUGAUUUUUUUGUCUUUAACAUGUUGAAAGUGAGCUUGGCCAAAUGGCUAGGCCAUUUUGAAUUGGUAUAAAUUGAAUUAAUGCCAAAAAGAUAGUCACGUCAAGACAUUGAGCAUUUGUUGUCACGACGAAAUUAAAUUAGUAUGUUGCGUUGCAAUGAGGAUCCCCAGAAGUCAUGACCCUAAAUCGUGAUUUUGAAAACAUUACAAAUUGGUCCUAAUUCGACCUUGGGUUUGUAUUAAAGCUUUCGUAAGCUCAUAUAAAACUUAGAAAUGGUUGUAUAUUGCAUCAUAUGUAUAUAAUACUCAUAAAUAAAUGUUAAUGGUAAAAAUUGAAUGUAAUUGAUCGUAGUUGUUUUCGUAACGAAUAUGAAAUCCUGUAACUCGGAUCCGACAAUUGGAUUGGGUAUAGGGUGUUACAUUUUUCAACCACAACAACAAUGCCAAACUAACCUUUAAACAUACUUAGAGCUGGCAAAAUAGGCCUGAGCUCGAAAGCUCAUCUGUGCCAAUUCGAGCUUGUGUCGAUCUGAGUAUAUUAUUUGGGUUUGGGCUUGCUAUAAUAUAUCCGGGUUUUGGAAUAAAUAUUUUAAAAUAUGAAUAUUAGGUUUAUAAAUUUAAUAAGAAAGAAAAAAAGUUAUUCAACUGCUAAUUGUCAAUAUAAUAUAAUAAUGAACAAUAAAAAUAUUUUUGUUAAUUCAUAUAAUAGAAUAGAAUAAUAAAUUUUACAUUUGAUAAGCACUUUGAUUGUUUUAUAUAAAAGAAUUGUAUUAAAAAUAUUUUUAAACUUUUUAUAAGAUAAAUUUGAAUUGUGUUGUCAUUGUAUAAAAGUAAAAUAAAUUAUUACAUUAGAAAUUAAGAUAUUUAUAACUUAUAAAAUUCAAAAUUAUUUAGAUCUGUCAGAGUUCACUUGACUCGAUUUGAGCCCGAAUAUGAAAUAAGCCUGAUUCAUACCCGUCCGUUUGCCAACUCUAAACAUACUUGAACAAUUGAGCCCACAUCCUUAUUAUUGUUGUAAUAACAAUCCUACUAGCUGAACUAAUGUUGAAUCGAUGUCACCAUAAACGUUUUAAAUUCAAGGAUUAUGCAUGCCACAGGCCGACUCUUUUUUUUAAAAAAAUAUAUUGUAUUAUAUUAUAUUGUGAGAAUAGCUUAUAUCAGGAUGAUCCUAAAAUAUAUAGUUUUUAAGUAUCAAUAAAGUAAUGUCACAUCAUCAAAUUUUAAAGACAUACAAAUAUUAUUCUAUACUCAAUCAUAUACGGUAUCAAGUCUAAUUUAAUUGAAAUUUAAUUAAAAUAAUUAAAUUUUUGGCGGAAAACAUAACAAAAAAUAAAUAAAAUUUGAAAAUUCUUAAAUCAAUAAUUAAAAAAAAAAACAGUAGUAAAAAAUCAAAAUUUGAAAAAUUAUAAUCACCAUUGGUGGUUUUAUCAAAUUAUGAAAUUUGAUUAAAAAUUAAAAAGAAAAAUAAAAAGAGAAAAUUCAUUGCAUAAAAAUAAAACACAAUUAUAAACUUUAAACGAUUAAAAAAAGCUAAAAUGAUUUAAAAUUAUAAAAUAAAAAAACAUAUUUUUUUAUUAAAAUUUAUAAUUUUUAAGUAAUUUAAUUAAAAUUAAAUUAAAUUAGAGAAUAUAUUAAAUAUGGAUGAAUGCAUAAUAAGAUUUAUACAUUUUUAAAAGUUGAUGAUGUGAUAUUUUAUUAUUGGUACCUAAAAAUUAUGUAUUUUAGAAUCAUCCUAAUAUAGUUUAUUUUCAUAUAUUAUUAUUUAAAUUUAUAAUAAAAUUAUAUUUUCUUUCCUAAAAAAAUUAUUUAUUUUGUAUAUUUUUAUAAAAACUCUUUUACUUUAAAUUCUAUUAAUUUUUUUAGAUUAAUUUAUCUCUAAAUGAAAUACAAAUAAAAAGUAAAUCAUUAACAUAUUUUCUACUAACUUUGCAUUCUAUAUUGUUAAUAUAUACAAUAUUAUGUUUUUCACUUGUAAUUUAACAUAAUUUUAAGAUUAACUGGAUCAAGAUUAAAUCAGUUGUUAAACUUCAAAAAAUUUAAUUAAAUUAUUAAAAUAUCAAUAUCAUAUCAAUUAGAUUUGAACUUAAAUAUGUCGUGAUAUAUACAUUUAAAAAAGUAAUAAAUUAAAGAUAAAUGUGAUAAUUGUUGACACAUAAUAAUUUAAAUUCAAUACUGUGUAGAAUAUAAAAAUCAUAACGGUAAACUAUAAAAAAAUAGUAAUUUUUGUUUGCCUUAAAUUAUAUUUUAGUUACUUAUAUUUGAAAUGUUACGUUUUAGUCACUUACGUUAUCGUUUUGUUACAAAGUAGUCACUCUAUCGUUAAACUUCGUCACCUCUCUAACGACAGUCCUACGUGGCAGUCCAAAUGGGUUUUAAAUGCCAACUUGGAUGUCCAGUUGCUGGGAUGAAAAUAGAUUUUUAAUUAAAUAAAUUUAAUUUAGAUUGUCACAUAGUAUAUCUAAGUUGUCAUUUAAAACUCAUUUAGGCUGCCACGUAGGAUUGUCUUUAGGGGGUAACAGAGCUUAACAGUGGAGUGACCACUUCGUAACAAAAUGAUAACGUAAGUGACUAAAACAUAACAUUUCAAACACAAGUAACUAAAAUAUAAUAUGAGACAAAUAAAAGUGACUAUUUUAUAAUUUAUCCAAAUCAUAAAUAAAAAUGCAUAAUUGACAUUAAUCAUAACCCUAACAUUUCUUAUGAGUUCAAAAAAUUAAUGAAUAAGAAAGCUCACAUCAUGGAUGAUAAUGACGGUAAAGAGAUAUCAUAGGUUUUUAGGUAGGUCCUUAUAUUUCAAAUUUUGGAAAGCAAAAAAGAAACAUCCCAAGUUUUUUAGUGGUUUUCGUGUUUUAAGAGGAUUCAAUUAACUACACGUUUUCCUUUUGUCCUUGAUUAAUUCCAAUCAAACAUUCAAUUAUCAAUGGGCCAUUCAUUUUGUUUUGUCUUUUUUAAUCAUAUUUAUAUAUAUUCAAUAAUUUCAUUACAGGUUCUAGUUAUAUCGAUUCUUUUUUAUAAAAUGCUUGAAAUUAUUUAUAAUCUAUUCACAACUCACUUGAACCCACAUCUUUUUAUAUUAUUAAUAAUUAAACUAAAACUCAAUUUACCAUAUACAUAUUUAUAUAUAUAUUCUAGAUUUGAUGAAUAAUUUUUCCGAGAAAUUUCAUCAACAUUUAUCCUACUUGCUUGGUUCCUUUGAAAGCAAAUUCCAUACCAAACUAUAUAGAGUGGAAGUGAAUAGGCUUUGAUUGGCCAUACGCAACAGCUAAAAAACUUAAAUUUUAUUUAGUAAUCUUAAUUACUAAUUCUUGUAUUGUCUACGGGUACUUUUAUUACACUCGUAGUCUCUAUAUAGAGUAUUCAAGUAUCUUAUACAUCAUUAAUCCCAUUAUUUGUAGAAUUUACCUAUAAUAUAUAUAUAUAUAUAUAAGGUGUAAAUUUAGAGUGUCCUCAAAUCUCAUUGAAUUUAAAAUUAAUUCUUAUGGAAUCAAGAGAAUCAAAAGUAAAAUCCCUCUAAUAAGUGCGAUUCCCCAAGAUUCAAACUUAUCUUUUCAUUUUUAGAAGGAGAGUCGACUACCACCUCAACAUUAAUCAUACGUAAAAUAUUAUGUAUUUUAUAUUAAUCUUGCUUAAAAUCAAACAAAACUACUAUAGAUUAAAGUGGAUAGGCUAGGAUUCCAAUAGGAAAGAGCUAAACAAAAAUAAACCCAAAUUUUAUUUGUGAUCUCAUUUAUCAAUCCUUGUUUAAUUCGUAUAUUAUAUAUUUAUGUAAACUUUAAAAAUACGUGUAUUAUGUCAUGUUUAUAUUAAUGUUUAUAUCAUAUCAUAUUUUGUUUUUUUUAUUAUUAUUCAUACGUGUUUAUGUAGAUCAAAGUAGUUACUUUUUUAUUAAAAAAUUGUCCAAUGAAAAACGUUAUAUUUAAUUGAAGAAUUCAAAUGUGCUAAUAAGAUCUAUCGAUCGAAUUCAUAUUUAAUUAACGAAGCAUAUGGACAUUAAUACGAGAAUAACAUGAAUUUUACUUAAUUAUGCAUAAAAUUAAUCACUAAAAUUAAAUUGAUCAAGAAUUUCAAAAUUUUUAAAAAUAUUUAAAGUUUUUGUCAUUAUCAUUAUUAACAUAUUUAAACAAAAUGCUGUUUUUUUUGUCAUAUACGACCUGAUUUUAUUAAUUGGUCAUCCCCAAUAUACACACAAAAUUUAAAAGAUGAAGACAGAAAAAAAUUACUUUAUACCAAUUGCUAAAAAUCUAUGAACAAUAUUAGAUGUAUCAAAAUAUUUUUAUGUAAAACAUAAAUAUGUGUAUAAAUAUUAAACCAUGAAAAGUUAACUGCAAGCAGAAUAAAAGUUUAACCUUCAGUAUUGAUGUAUGUUAGUAACUCUAUUAAAAAUGAUCUAUUGAAAAUGAAUACUAAGAGUAAUUGAGAGAAAAUGAAUUAUUGAAUAAUACUAAUAUUUCAUUCUUAUUUGAAUAAGAACAGAGAAGAGUUUAUAUACAAGUGAAAGCUUAACUACGGUUAACAUUAUUGCAGUUUAGAUAAAAAAUUAGUAACAAAUUAAUAAUACACUGCCAGAUCCUAUACUUUAACAUUCACCAGCUUCUUAAUGGGUAAGACUCGAAGUAAACUACGGAACUAUGUAAAAAUAGAAACAGAUAACGGUUUUGUGAGAAUAUCAGCAACUUGGUCACAGGCUAGCACCUUCCCGACAACUAGAGAGCCAUCAGCCACCUUUUUGCGAACAAAAAAUAAAUCAAGUUCAAUAUGUUUAAAUUUGGAGUGUAGAAGUGGAUUAACAGCAACAACGACGACACUAGAAUUGUCACACCAAACAGUCAGUGGAUCAGCAGAACGAAUUUGUAGUUCAUUAAGAAGUGCAAUGAGCCAAGUAAUAUCACUGGUAGCAGCUGCAAGACUUCGAUAUUCAGCCUCAGCCGUAGAUUGAGAAACAACUUGUUGUUUCUUAGAGCACCAAGAGACAGAUUAUGACCAUAGUAGAGACAUUAGCCUGUCGUAGACCGUCGAUCAUCAAAAUCCAGUCCCCAGUUGGCAUCAGCAUAUCCAACUAAAGACAGUCUGUCAGAUGGUCGAAAGACUAACCCAUGAUCAAUAGUGCCAUGCAAGUAUCUCAAAAUUUGUUUUAGAGCUACCAUAUGUACAGUAGUAGGAGCAUGCAUGAAUUGACAUACACGAUUCACAACAUAAGCAAUGUUAGGCCUAGUUAAGACCACAUAUUGAAGUACACCGGCAAGACUUCUAUACUCAGUAAGAUUCAGUAAGACGGUCUCCCUCAUAUUUAAACAAAGUAGAAAAACUGACCAUCAGUGUAUAGACACUCUUUGCAUUAGCUAAAUAACUCCUAUCAAGAAAAUCUCGAAUAUAUUUACGUUGACAUAAGUGGAGAUUCCCGAUGGAAGAUUGAGUGACUUCAAUGCCUAAGAAAAAAUAAAGCUCACCCAUGUCUUUAAAUGAAAACUUUUUAUGUAGUUGUUGAAUAAAACUGUUAAUAGCGUCAGCUGAACUACCAGUAACAAUAAUAUCAUCCACAUAUACCAAAACAUAAGUGCUGUAGUUAACGUAACUUGAACAAACAAGGGUGCAUCAGAUUUAGAUAAGACAAAACCACUAGAAACAAGAAAGUGCUUCAAUUUAUCAAACCAAGUACGCAGAGCUUGUCGCAACCCAUAUAAUGCCUUUGUCAGAUGAUAUACCAAGGGCUCACCAAUUGGCCCAGACUGAACAUAGCCUGGCGGUUGCUACAUGAAAACUUCGUCAGAGAAAUCACCAUUUAAAAAAGCAUUGUUCAUAUCGACCUAACGAAGUUUCCAACCCUUGGAGACAGCGGUCGAUAAUAUGGUUCGAAUAGUAGCCGGUUUGACCACUGAACUAAAUGUUUCUUUGAAGUCACACCUAGGUACCUGUGAAAAGCCCUUUGCCACCAAUCGAGCCUUACGCCGAGCAACCAACCUAUCAGGAUUUUUUUUAUUUUGAAAAGCCACUUACACCCAAUCAUUUUUUGACCACGAGGUAACUCAAUAAGCUCCCAGGUAGAGUUAGUCAUUAAGGCAUCAAAUUCAGCUUGUACUGCCACUUUCCAAUUUGGAUGACCAAAAGCUUCUUCAAUUGUGUGUGGCUUAAAGUCGAUGGUUUCAAUAGUUAAAACCUUGGGUUUCAAAAUACCUGUCUUAGACCAUGUAACCAUAGCGUGAGUAUUACCAAAAGGAACAAGCAGUGUAGCCGACGAAACAGGACCGAGCGAGCUAUUCUUGUUUGACAAGGUAGCGAAAAAAUGAAAAAUCACGCAAUCAGAAUCUACUUCAAUUGGUGAUCUAAUAGACACAACCGGUAUGCUAUCACAGGCAGCCGAUAAUGUAACAGGUUCAGAAUGAGAGGUUGAGAAAACUGAAUGAUAGGAACCUACGUGGUGACACGCAGACUAUGCUGGGUAGUGGCCAGUGUAGAUGAAUUAAACAAGAAACAACGUUCAUCAAAAACAACAUGACGAGAGAGAAUAACCUUACCAUCCAGUGUGAGACAAUAAUAGCCUUUAUGUUGUAAACUGUACCCUAGUAAUGUACAUGGCUAGGAACGAAAGUCUAACUUGUGACGUAAAAAAGGGCGAAGAUACGGGAAACAACAGCAACCAAAUACCCUCAAAUGAUCAUAUGUAGACUCCUAACCAUGAAAAGCCUUAUACGAAGAUUGGCCAUUCAGAAUCGGAGUUAGAAGACGAUUUAUGAGGUAAAUAAAACUGCAGAAAGCAUAUCCCUAGUAAUCCAUGGGCAGAUUGGCUUGGGCCAAUAGCGUAAUACCGGUCUUAACAAUGUGACGAUGUUUACGCUUAGCAAUAUCAUUCUGUUCGGACGUAUAUGGACAGGAGAGACGAUGAAGAAUACCAUGAUUAGCUAAAACCGAUGUGAAGGCACAAAACUCACUUCCCCAAUCACUUUGAAAUUUUUAAAUUUCCUUUCCGAAUUGAGUUUUAACCAUUUUUUGAAAUUGAAGAAAGCACUCAACUGCUUGAGAUUUACGUUGAAUCAGAUAAAUCCUCAUGAAACGACAUAGUAUAAUUUACCUCCACAUACAAUAGAAGUUGGGCCCCACAAAUCAGAAACAAUCAAUUCAAAUAAAUCCAUAUAUUUAGUAGUAGAGUGUGAAAAAGGCAAUUUAUGUGACUUCCCUUUUUGACAUGCAAUACAGAUAUUAUCAAGUGAUUUUUUAUUAGUAACAAUUUGACACUUAUCAAAAACAAUUUUAACAGUUGAGGCAAAAAGAUGACCAAGUCUUUGAUGCUACAAUGUAAAAUCAUCAAAAAUCAUCAACAGUGGUAGGACACUUUCAAAUCCUAGUGUUGUGAACAGACAGAGCCAUAGCAGACGAAACGGACGGAAUAGCCAAAAUAUUAUAGAGACCAUCACGAGUGUGGCCCCGUACCAAAAUUUCAUGUAUCUGGAUAUCUUUAAUAACACAAUAAGACGGAUGAAAUUCAAAAAAUACAUUAUUGUCAUUGGUAAACUGAGAGAUAGAUAUAAGAUUCUUCCUGAUGCUCGGCAUGUAUAAAAUAUUGGUCAGAUGUAGUAAUUUUUUCUCUGUAAGUAAAACAGAAUUUCCAAUAUAUGAGAUUUUAGCAAAAGCUCCAUUACCUAUUAAAAUAGAAGAAUUACUUAAGUAUGGGUAGGCUCAUUUAAAUUAGAAGUAUUCUGGCAAACGUGGUGUGUAGCUUCUGAAUCUGGAUAUCACGAUGAAGUUCCAACAGGUAGGGGAAGAUACGAAUCAUUAAAAUUUGAACCAUACUGAGUGGUAUUAGCAUUAGAUCCAGAAGUAGCCAAAAAAUCAGGCACAUUAAACUCUGGAAUACGAGGCAACCCAAUACACAGUGAUGACUCAAAAUUAAUAACUCGGGCUCUUGGUUUAGUCCUCUAUGAAACACUGGGCCCACCAUUUGGUAUAGGAAGUGCAUGACCUUCAAAGCCAACAUAGUUAAUAUUCGGCCCCAUAGCAGGCUGACUAGCACUUGGACCAGCAGCAUCAUGCGUAGCAAAGUUUGGCCCACCAGGAUUCUGCCCACUAAAAUCAGGAGGCCCAGUAGUUCGCCUUGCAGCAGAUGGGGCGUAAGCGUGGGCAGUAGGAAAUGGCCUAAAGUGCUGACCCAUUUUACGCGAUAAGGGAAGAGUCCCAUAUAGACUAUUCGGAUGUAGGCCACCACCAGACCCACUUACACGGCCUGCAUCAGAAAUAAAGUUAGGGUUAAAGAAUGAAAAUCCUGAACAUGUGAUAGACGAGAAAAAUGAUUAUACUGCGAUAACCAUCCUUCCCAGGAGGGACCGCCAGAAAAUGGCAUCGAUGGUUGUCCUGUCGAACUAGCAAAUUGUCUAGUAAAGCCAUCAGACUGUGCAUACUUAUCACCUCAGAAACUUUGGCCAUCAUGAGCAGAGGAGAGACGUUCUAUGGGCGGAGGAGACAGACCGUCGUAAUCCCGAUUGUAACGAUAGAAGUAUUGUUGUACCAGGUGACCAUAGCAACUGCAGAUCUAACAUUAAAUUUGUGGUCGAAAGCCACGCUUACGAGAACCAGAGGAAGAAUGACCGCCGUCACGAGCAGGAUCAGCCACCGUUGUAUUCAAGGGAACUUCAACCAUAUUGGCAUGAAAUGGUGCAUCAUGCACCGCACGAGUUUGUCAACUCUCAGACUCUAGGAGAACCUCAACAAUAUUUUAAAAUGGUAGUGUCUCAGAGGAGAAAGACACUAGCGUUAACACCGAGUCAAAAUUCGAUGAAAGACCAGCAAGUAUAACGUCUACCUUUUCGGCCUUCGGGACGACAGAGUCAAACUCCUCCAACAAAGCAAAGGUAUUUUAGAUCUUGGCAAUAUACUCUUUGACAGUUAAUGCUCCUUUCUUGAUUGAAUGUGGGUCAUACUUAAUUCAAGAAAUUUUAACACCAGUCAUAGUAGUAAAAAGCCAAUUAGCAGUGCUCCAUACUUUACAAGCUGUUUUGGCAUAUGUAAAAUAUGACAAUAACGAUGCACUAAUCGUAGAGAAUAACCAAGAAGCAAGUAACUUAUCUUAUUGAAUGAAGAGAGACGUAUCAAGAUUCGGAGUCAAAACUCCAUCUGGAGAGGUCACAAAGCUAGACAGAAUAGGUAACAUACCGUCUAAAAAACCUUGCAAUUCAUAGCCUUCAAGAUCAACCGUACAUGCUGUUGCCAUCGUACAAAGUUUCCAUCACCUAACUUCACUGUAUCAUGACGAGAAAACGAUUGAAUUAAGCGAGAGCUGGAAAAAGAAGCAACGGAAGUAAAGUCGAUGGAAUUUGCCAUGGAUGCGGCAGAGAGAGGAGGUCCCAGGAACUCAAGCGACUGAUACCAUGUUAGUAACUCUAUUAAAAAUGAUCUAUUGAAAUUGAAUACUAAGAAUAAUUGAGAGAAAAUGAAUUACUAAACAAUAGUAGUAUUUCAUUCUUAUUUGAAUAAGAACAGAGAAGAGUUUAUAUACAAAUGAAAGCUUAACUGUUGCUAACAAUAUUGUAGCUUAGAUAACAAAUUAGUAACAGAUUAAUAACAAACUGCCAGACUACCAGAUCCUAUACUCUAACAAUCUCUAGUGUUUUUUUCUGUGUACCAAUACUUCUAUGCUCUUAAUUAUUCAGAUAGUAUAGAUUCUUCAAGUUGUUGAACGUAGGGACCUCUUACAUUGAUCUGUAUAUAUAGGCAUAGCUUGUAAAGUUUUUCCAUAAAUUUUUUUUGAUAUUUUCUUUGUUGAAAUUAAGAUAUCCAUCAUAGAUAAUAGUGACUAAUUUUCUCGCCAUUGGUCUAUUUAUUAUUUGUUAAUAAAGUUUAAUUUAAACGAGACAUACAUUAUAAUGCUUUCAAUUAAACUCAUAAGUUAAUUGAAUAAUCUAAUAAUGGCUUGAAUUAAACUCAUGACUAAAUGAUUGAAUAAUGGAAAUCAUGUACUCUCUAUUGAAGAAGUAAAGAAGCACAAUUAAUAAAGAAUUUAAGAUAUUUUUGUGAUAAAAUAAAACAAAUAAAUUAAAUUAACUACACAAUGAUUCUUUGAGCAAGACUGUCACUUUGCUUAGGAGAAAGUUCUACCAUCUCUUUAGGAAUCUCCUCAAAUAUCUUUAAUAUUUGAUUUGUAUAAAAAUCUAUUUUGGCCAAGCAGUGAGCAGUUUUAUUAUAGUCCCUAGGAAAAUGUUGAAUGACCCAGGAUUUUACAUUCAUCAACAGGUGAUGAAUAUGUCUAAUGAGGGCAGAAUUUGAAUUUGUUUGAGACGAAUCCUGAAUGGCCUUGACCACCUCAAGCUAUCUAUUUGAAUCAUCACACCAUCAUACCGCUUAUUUUGGAUGAGAGCCAGUUCAUCAAGAAUACCCCACAAUUCAGCAUCAAAGACUAAGCACUUGCCUAGAUAUCUGUUAUAUCCCAUAAUCCACUCCCCAUUUCCAUUUCUUAUGACUCCCCCCGUAGCAUUUUCAUAAACAAUUUGAACCGCCCUAUCAGUACAAAGACUAAUCUAAAUUUUCGAUACCUGAGCUGAUGAAAUUUGUUUAUUCCAUUUAGAUACGUCCUCCUAUGAAAAGAAGCAAACUGUUUUGCCCAUAUAUAUGAAAUCUUUACAAUCUCACCUAUAUUCCAAGAGACACCAUGAAAAAGAAAAUUGUUUCGAUUUUUCCAAAUUCUCCAAGUUAGUAAAUCAAAUAAACAUGACCAAUUUACCGCACCGAUGACUGAUUUAGCAAGAUUGCAAAUUAGACUUUAACCACGGAAUAAAGUCUCUUGUAAAGAAGCGCCCACUGGUUCCAUCUGGAAUAACUUGCAUCCAAAUUUCUUUAGCCGUCGGACAGUCUCUGAUAACAUGCAAAAUAUCUUCAGGAUGAUAGCCACAUAAACCACAAGAGCUAUCAUGCCCUAUUCCCUGCUUAACACGCUCCAAGUUAGUCAGUAAUUUCUAAUUUAAAACAAACCAUAAGAAGAAUCUGACUCUUUGAGGUCCUUGAAAUUUCCAUGGUAUAUUCUAUUUUACAUCUUUUGGUUUUCACAAACUUUCCCGAAUAUGCUAAUAAGCACUUUUAAGAGAGAAGAUACCAUUUGAAGUCCUAGCCCAAAUAAUUUUGUCAAGACUUGCAGACGGGUGGGGUGGUGACUACCCACAAUGUGUCUAAUAAUUUCUUUUGGCAACCAUAGACGAAAAAAAAUCUAAAUUCCAAAAGCCCUCCACAUUGACCAUUUCACUAAGCAUAUAGACUAAAUAAUUUAAGAUUUUUAGUAAAGACUAAGAAACAAAUCACCGUUCAGGGAUGAAACUUACAACUUGAUUUCUCCUCGAAUGAAUUAUAAGCCAAAAAAAACCAUGAACUAGAAUAAAAGAUUAAUCUCUAUCGGACAAAGAGAGUUAAAGGUAAAGCCCUUUCAACAAGUGUUGCUUCUUAAGAUUCGAACUUAUAUUCUCAUCUUUGUAGAGGCAAGACUGCUACCAUCUCAACAUUAAUCAUGUGUAAAAUAUUAUAUAUUUAAUUAAUCAUGUUUAAAAUAAAACAAAACUAUGAUAGAUUUAAGUGAAUAGGGUAGGAUUGCAAUAGUACGUACUUAACUCAUAUUUUAUUGGUCUUAAUUAUUGAUUAUGGUACACUAUUAAUAGAGGCUUUAGGCUCCACAAGUAAAGUAAAAUUGACAAAUUUCUUAUAAAGUAUAGUAAAAUAUUAAAAAAUAAUAAAUAUUUUUAAAAAGAGACACAUAACAAUUUUUUAAAGUUUUUUUUUAGUAUUAUGCAUAUAUAUUUUACAAUCCAUAUUCGGGGUUUCUAGCUGCCCCUUUUAACAAUGUUGUCUUUAAAGUUCAAACAUAUGUUCUUCCCUUAAAAGUACAAUGUAUCUUACCAUUACACCUAACUACUUAUUUAUAGUAUUAACUCUUUUAAUAAUAUGUGUAUCAUGUCAAUGUUUAUGUUAAUGUUUAUAUCAUAUUUUAUAUUUUUACUCGUACAUAAUCGAAGUAUUUUUUUAAAAAAAAUUUAUAUGGUAAAAACAAUUCUGAUCAUUAAAUUUUCAUUCAAUGAGGAACAUUAUAUUUAAUUAAAGAAUUCAAAGGUGCAAAUGAGAUCUUGACUUCAUGUGAAAGAGAAGGCAAGGUUCUCAUUAUGAGUCAGUUUAGUAUUUAUAGAGUAUGGUUUCAUGAUUGAGAGCCAACCAAUAUUAGGAAAAUGUCUCCAUUCUAAUAUAUCUGGGAAUAGGGGAAUGGAUGGAUGAUUGAAAUGAUUUAUUAUUGUUUAAUUCAAGCGUUGUUAAGAAAAAAAGAGUGAAAAUCUACAUUAAAUAUAGAUUAUCUCAUAUUUAACCACAAGAAGAUCUAAAUAUCAUUCAAUUGAACUACUACAUGAAAUACACAAUGAAGACCAACAGAUAACAAAAACAAAUUAAAAACAUAUCAUUUGCAGACCAAAAGAAAAACAUUUAAGCUACACACAGAUUGACAUUUUCAAAUGUUCUUUAAGCUGUAAACUUGGGACAUGGAGGGAUAUGUCUAGUCGCGGAUCUUUUUGUAAAGUGUGAAGGUUGAUAUCAUUGAGAGCAACACCAGAAGGAUGGCAGCAAACAAUGAGAGUGCAAGCGAGCUCGCUGUGUAUCGACAGAACUUGUCGUAGACAUUGCAGAUUUUGGUCCACCCGACGUGAGUGUUGCCCUUUAAUCCGAUAUAACCGACGGCCCCUGCUGCACCGGUUGCAGAGGCCACGAUCCCGACAAAUAUCUGCAUGUUAUAGUUGGGAGUCAAAAUCGGUCAUCAAUUAUCUAUGGUUGAACUAGUGUUCUCGAUUAGACUCAGGAGCUACUUGAAUAAAGUAUUAAGAUGCUUGAAUUCUACUCGAUAAAUAGAUAAUUAAAACAAAUUUAAAUUUCCGAAUCACACACGAAUGACUUACCACAUCGAAGAAAGCAAAAAAGAGCAAGAAGGUUUUGGAAUAGGUAGGGUUAAGGACGAUUGAAAGUGAUGCCAACGUAGUGAUAAUGCUGUAGAAGCCUGUUACUGAUAAUGCUGCUAUGAAAUAUCUGCACAAAUGAUACAUAAUUUAACAAAAUACAAAAGAUAUUAUAUAUAUAUAUAUUAUGUUCUAUUUUCUUUGGCAGCAUGGGUUUUUAAUAUUGCAAACUAUUAAAAAAAUUUAGUUUCAUUCUAUUACAAAAAUUAUUCAAAAAGCUUUAGAUAAAUUUAUUUGGUACAAAACCCUUUUUCCAAUGAUUCUCAUCAAUCAAGCAUUAUAGCAAAUAAUCUUUUAACAAAUUCUUAAUAGUUGGUUUAAAGUAAUUUUUUAACAUAAAAUAUUUAUUUUUAACCCCAAUAUUUAUAUUUUUAUUUCAGCCCUAAUCAAAAUUCCUGAAUUUUUCCUUAUAUUUAAGAAAUAACUUACAUUGAGAUUUUGUUUUUCUUUUAUCUUAUAUAUAGAUUUAAAACAUAUAAAAGUUUUAUUAAACUAAAUUCACAAGAAUGCAAUUAUUGAGAUUAGCGACCUCCAUAUCACACAUUAUCUUUCAUUUAAAGAGUCAAGUUUAUAUUUCUUUUUACCUGUACCCCUUUUGCCGUAUGGUCAUGGAUAAGCUCAAAUGUUUGGCAUGUGAUAGCUAUGGGAGUAGGACACAAGAUUAUUAUUUACUUUGUUUGCCAUUUGAAAUUUCAACAAGAAAUUUCCACAUUGCAGCCAAAAUGUGUAAUGUUCCUAUUCUGUUUUUUAGCUAAGCCCCUCUUGAGAUUUUUUUUAGGCUUAAUAUUUAUUUUUUCCUUUGUCCUAUAUAGAAAUUCUUAUUUUCGGUUAGUUUAUCUCUUUACUUUUACUAUGUUCAUCACUUUAGCUCCUUCACCAUUUCUGUUUAAAAAAAAAAUCUCACUUAUCAAAUGUGAACAUUUGGAUAAUAAUAAAAGGCUCGAGGUGAGAGUAUCACUGUAGUAUAGAUAUGAAAGUGAAAAUUUCACUAUAAUACAAAUCAAAAUAGACAUUUAGCCUAUUAUCAAGGGGUAAACAUGUGAAUAUAUGGGACUUUUUUUCCAAAAUAAAAUUUUUAAGGUUCAGAAUAGGUAUUAAAUUUUUUCUUAAAUAACAAAGGAUAUGAUGUUUUAGUUAGUAUUGUAAAUAUCAAAGUUCCAACUUCAAAUUUUCAAUGUCAGUUUGUAAGUGUGGUUAUGAUUCUUUUGAGAGAUUUUGUGAUUACUUCAUGUUAAUCAAGAGAUUAACAAAAGUUUUGCAAAAAUUGCAUGCAACCUAUAUGAAUUAAUAUUUAAAUGAGAUUAUGAAUAAAAAAUAUAAUUACGUAAUAAAUAUAUUUAUAAAAUUUAAUAUAAUUAUAUUUUAAUUGAAUGGUAAAAUUUAAAUGUUGAAAAUUAUAUAGUCCUGAAUUUAGGCCUUAUUUUGUGAAUUUUAUAUUUCUAUUUUUUAUAUAAAAACGCUGAAAAUAAUAUAAUUUAUUUUGUAUAGUUUGAAUAUUUUCGUCAUCAUUUAAUUGAAUUAAUAUCCAGUUAAGUUACGAUAACAAACUCAAUAAAUGUUUAAUGUUAAUAGAGAUAAAUAUAAAUUAUACUUACACGAGGGCAGGUGAAUGAUUGAACUUUGCUUGGAGUUGGAUCCUAACUAAAGGGAAGCCUGGCACUGGAACCAGCUCGGUUUCCUUGCUGGUAGCCAUGACCACCACUGAAGUUAGAGUAGCGGCAAAUAAUAAGACCCGAAGAACAAC
Molecule: long non-coding RNA, 55528 nt
Filed under: Gossypium barbadense (sea-island cotton)
Lineage: Eukaryota; Viridiplantae; Streptophyta; Magnoliopsida; Malvales; Malvaceae
Description: long non-coding RNA (GBAR_LNC001147)
Source: RNAcentral